Molecule: long non-coding RNA, 53688 nt
Filed under: Phoenix dactylifera (date palm)
Lineage: Eukaryota; Viridiplantae; Streptophyta; Magnoliopsida; Arecales; Arecaceae
Description: long non-coding RNA (PDAC_LNC001940)
Source: RNAcentral
GGAGAGGACAAAAGAAAAGAGAGGUUGAAGAGAGACCAAACGGCUGGAAAUGGUUGACCCAUUCAGCUCUUUAUGUGCUCAAUAGUACAGCUAGAAUGACCCUAAAUAAAGGGGAAAAAGAAAGAAAGGGAAAAAAAAAUUAAAAUCCCAUUCAUAAGUAACCAGGUGACAAUAUGGAUGAUUGCAUGCAUUUCUGUUCUUCACAUUCAAGCAAGCAAGAUGAGAAAAUGAAAGGACAUAGCAAGAGUAUAAAUCCUGAAACAGCAAUUAGAAGUACAUUAAUUGUGAAUGUUUAAUAAGUUUUAUUAUCAUUGUAACCUAACCUCAAAAAUCAAGCAUGUACUGGUAGCUUGAUAACCAGUUAAAUGACUAAUCUUAUCAAUCUAUAUAAACAACAGUAUGAAACUAUGAAUUAAUGCUAAUGGUCAAGGUUUAAAGAUCCGUUUAGGACUAGUCCAUCCUACCCAUCCCGGAUUAGACCAAAAUCAUAGACCAUGUCCUAGAAUGAGUCUGGGACCCCAAUACCAAUAAAAUCAGGUCAUCCCCGUUGGCAUCAAUCUACAUAGUUACAAUAUUUAGACUUUAGAGAAUAUCUGAAAAAUUCAUGAAUUAUUCAUGACUAGCUGUUUGGCCAAAUCAUUGAGCGAAAAACUUGUUAAUUCGAGAAUGGAUCAUGAAAAAUUCAUUAAGUUUGCAAAAAUCACAAAUAGCUCUCCAACCAUUUUUCUCAAUCUCCAUCUCGGUACACCUCGAUACGAACUAGUACGCACCUCGGUACGGAUUGGUACGUAUCGGUACGUCUCGAUACGGACGGUACUCAUACCGAUUUUCUGCUAGUACGUAUGCCCCGUACCAAGCAGUACAGGGCGGUAUAGCAGACUAUGGUCACAUGCAUGGUGACGUGGGUUGUAAAGGACCUGACAAGUCAAAAAAAUAUCGAAGUUUCUUAUUUUGGAUUCCAACAAGGAAAGCAGAGGGAUGAUCCCUAUUUCUCUCUCUUGUUCUCUUUUCUUUUCUCCUAUUCUCUUUCUGCUCCACUCCAUGUUUGUAUUUUUCUAAGCCUCCAAGAUAAUGACUAACAGGUUGGAGCAAGGUCCGCAAUCUCGGUAUCUUAGCGGUACAGUACGGUACAGCUUUGUACCAAAAUAACUCGCUAAUAAUUUUCUCAAUUUUUUCUCAAUACGCCUCGAUAUGGACAGCUACAUACCUCGAUACGACUCGAUACGAAGCUUGUACCAACUUGAAGGUAUGUUUCAUACUGGUUUUCUCUCGAUACGGUACGGUAUGCCCCGUACCAAGUGGAACGACAGACCAUGGGCUGGAGGCUUCCUCAAAGAAGCAAGCUAAUUGCCUUUACACCAAACUCCUAUUGUAAACUUAGAAAUUAGAAUAAAUUUUAUAUAUAUGUAUGCAUGCGUGCAUGCUUGUGCAUGUGUGCGUGCAUUCAUGUGUGUGUGUGUGUAUGUAUAUAUGGAUACAUAUAUAUACAUAAACAUACACAUAACUAUAUAAAUAUAGACGUAUAAACAUAUAUACACAUAUAAAUAUAAGUUCACAAACAUUUAUUGUUUUAGAUAUUUUAAACAUUUCUAUUUUCCAAACAUAUUGGAUUUUUCUAAAUUUUGAACUUCUCAAACUUACGGAAUUCUUCCUAGGCAUAUAUAAUGGGUCAAUGAUCAAAACCGGCCAAUACUAGGGCCACAUGGGCGUUUCCGUUGUGUGCUUCAGCCCCUAGUUUGAAGGCCCAAGGAGAUAGCUUGGACUAGCAUGUCUUCUAAAUAUAAGACAACAUAACAAUAGAAAAGAGAGAGAAGAAGAGGAGAGAGAGCUCGGAUCAUGGCCAUCACAAACCUAAUACCCCAUCACUGUCAGUACUGAUCAUGGUUUUAAAUAUCAUGGGAUAGGGUUGUCCCUUUUUUCUGUGGAAUGGGAUGCGUUGAAUCUCGACACUUGGAUGAUGGAUGUCCCUUCUUGUCUAAUCUAUUUCUGGACUCGUUCUGUCUUGGUACUCAGGAAGGGGUGCCCUAUCCCGACACCCAGGACAGUGGGAUGCCCUUAAUUCCCCACUAGUUUUUAAAACCUUGGUAGCAAUAACACACUGUAACCCUAAUGAUCAGCACAAAAACCUACCCUAAUCCUUAAUUAUGACAAAAUUACCCUAGAAAUCCUCUAAACAAAAAUUAAAAACAACAAAAAACAAAAUAAAAAAGGAAAGAAAAAAGGAAUUGGUAUCUAGAGAAUAAUUAGGCCGCCACCAAUCCCAAGUAUGGUCUGCCGUACCAGUCGGUACGGACCGAUACCGGCCGAUACAUACCGGUACCGGACCCUACCGGUACGGUACAGCUACAUAUUUCGGUACCGAACCGUACCGACCGGUACCGACCGUACCGACUCGGUACCGGCCCGUACCGAACCGAUACCGGCCCGAACCAACCAGUCCGUACCGGCUGCAAUUUUUUUUGGCUUUUAGCCCCAUCGGUACAGUACUGGUUCGGCUCGGUUUGGUUCGGUACCGUAUCAGUACCGAUGCCCACCGGUACGUCGGUACAGUCGGUACCGCGUACCUUGAUCCCAAGUGUUAGGAAGAUAUCAUCCCAACCUUGUCCAUAAUUCGUACCUAGUCUAGAGGGUGCCGACUAGUGCAACUGGUAAAUUUAUUGCGGUCAGCACCAAUAAUAUAAGUUCCAAUCCCUACCUUACCCGAUUUUUGGUUAGGCUUCCUCUCGUCCUAAUUCUGAAAAAAAAAGAAGAAAAGAAAACAAGCAAAUGAUACCGGGUCUAGGACCCUGGAUUUAAAACCUUGCUAGUGAAGGUGCCUACAGAAGAUGCAUUAAAAUGCCCUUUAAAAGAUAAGCAAGAAGAAAGCAUUUGUAAAACAGCAGUCAUGAGCAUCUAGUCUGUAAGUAAUCAUGUUCUAUUAAUAACCUUUCAGUAAAAACAUUGUUAUUAAAUCCUUAAAAGAGAAAAUAAUAAAGAAAGUAAUAUGAAAAUAACAAAGAAAUUAAUAACUGCAGAUACACAACUAUACUUAUUGAGAUAGACAUUUAGAUGGAUGUAUUUAAGUUUCACAGAAAGUAGUGUGUUGUGUUAUUAACAAAUUCUAAACAAGCUAGCUUUCGAGGAUGCACAAAAUUAAACUUCAAAUAAAGCAGUAAAACAUUACCUUAUCUAAGUAUAAACCAAUAGCACAAUACAAAACCAUGUCAAGCAUCAUCAUUGAGAGGCAGACCAAAAAAUUGACUCCAGAGGAAGCCUGCAGUUUUUCAUUCACGGGAUCUGAAUCUGAAUAUGGAAGUUUUGAAUCUUGAGAUGAUUUCACUAUUCAGAUAAGUAAUUACCUGCCAGAUAUUGGUCCACCGAACUCCAACAUGAGCACGUUCGUAAUCAGCAAAGUUUACCGUCCCAAGGGCAAAUGCUGUAGGUGAAAGCAAAGAGGCCAAGAUCUUCCAUAUCCUAGCAGUCCAAGCGCAUUAAUGUAUUUGCAUUAGAAAAGAAUUCUAGCAGAGAUAAUUGAAGACAGAAUGUAGCAGCAAUACUAACAUAGGGACAGCAGGAUCAUUGACCGAGUAAUAAGGAAAGAAGGCUCCCAGAAAAGAAAGGGUGCCGACUGCCACAGCUGUCUUUGCACGAGAAAAAAAUGUGGAGAUCAAAAAGGAAAGCGUGACCGCACUUAAACCAAAAAAGAAGAAGUAGACGAAGACCAGUGAUUUAUCACUAUAUAUAAAAAGACUGCUCAUCGUGCAUAUUGUAAUGAUUGCUGAAGAAAUUGCAAACUGCAUGAAAAACCAGAAUAAGUUUAGUGAGAAACACUGCUUGAAACUAAAAGAAGCAGAAUUGAUAAAAAAAAAAGCAUGCCGGUCAUAAAUUCAUAAUAAUAUCCUUAUAUCCUAUAUAAAUAUUAUAGGAUAAUUGUUUUUUAUGUAAGAAAAGCAAAAAAAGGAAGAUGAGAACAGGAUAAUGGAACAAAGUCAAAGAAAGACCAAGGAUACAGUACUCUACAUGAUCAGAGGAAAAAAGUUGCUUUAGAUAAGAAUCAUGUGCACAUAAAAUCACCAGUAUAUGUAAAAAGAAAUCAACAACCAUGACCAUCUAAUCUAAAUAAAUCAGCAAAGCUAAAAACACCUCACAGAACACAAAAUUCCUUUUAUACGUUUCAGAGUUGCUGUAUCACUGAGAAGAAAACGCCAUGGUUGCUGGUGGAUGUAGUCCAGACGCUUUGGCUUCUCCUAAUAUUUAUUUUUUCUUCCAAAAAGAAAAGUAAUUUGUACAUAUGGAAGAAACUCUAAAGAUGGGAAUCAUUCAAUUAACUAUAUAUUCUUGCCAACCUAUCACCCAAAGGGUACGAUGGUGUAACUAGCUAUCACAGGAACCAAGUCUCUUUGUGCAAAAUGAAUAUUAAAUUUAGUUAAACUCUUUAAAAAUGAAAGCAGCUACCUAUGCCAUAAAUAUUGAGAUAACAGAACCACAUAUGAUGAAGAUCAGCAAGAAUGUAGCACUUGAUAGCAAUGACUGGAGAAAAGGAAUUCAUAAAGCUAAACCAAAAUGAUCAAAAAAGGCUUGUUGGGUACAUCUGGGUUUCUCUACAGGUAGAACUACAGUUUCACAGGUAUGAGGCACAUUUAAUAUUUCACAGGGCAUAAAGAGAUAAAUAAGCAAAUUUAUCGCAUAUCCAUGUGAACAAAUAAGUAUGUUGCUACAGUUAAAUAAUUAAGAUAAAUCAAAUACUUCUCAGGUAUGCAGUAGUUGCCUGUAAGGAAUAUGUGAUCAACCAGGAAAGGUAAAAUAUCUCAUCUUUAAGACCCAUCAUGUGCAGGCCUUCUUUAAUCUUCUGCUCCUGAAACAGAGAAGUAACAAUGCAAUUAUUUCCAAAUAAAGGGAACAAAAAAAUAUAUCAAAUUAGAGCAACAAAUUAUUCAAACUCAUGUUCAUAUUCAUACCUUCUCAAAAACAGAAUAGCUGAUUAGACGAGAAAUUGGAUAGAGAAAUCCCAAGAGAUAUCUGCCCAUUGCCAAGGAGGGUAAAAAUUCAAAAAAAUGAAAAUAACAGAGGAAGCUUACCGAUUGCUAUUCAUAAAAUGAUUAAAAUAAUUUUUGGCAACCUACAAAAGAUGACCCCCUAUACAACUACCAGUAAAUUUUCUCAUACUUAAGACUAUAGAUAGACCCUUGAUUAGAUAUUAAAAUCACUUAGAAGAAUAGUGACCCGCAUAUUUGAUCUCUUAAACAAAAUCCUCCAAAGGAAUGCAGCAGAAUAUGGCAAUUAGAAAAUAAAAAUUAAAAAGAUAAGAUUAAAGAAGAAAAUCUGAGAUUACAUGAGAUAGCAAGGAGAAACAAUAUGUCUUGGAUGAUUAUUCUUGUAGCACUCCUUUUAUUUUAUCAAAACCUCUGACAGCCUGCUAUCUACGAUAAAUCAGCAGAUAAGGGAGGUGGUAGGCAUAGGAUUCAAACAACUGCAUAUGAACUCUUAUCAGUCUUAUGUCUCUUAUUUUCUUUAAUUCCCAUACCGAAUAAUUCUCAUAGUUACCUGAUCGACAAAGAUUCAAAGAGAGGUUCACCCAGACAAUCUAUCUCAGUCAGAUGUCCCCAAUCUAUGAUCUUUCAUAAGCUAGCAAUCCCAUAGCUCGGAUGCUGCCUAAGUGGUAGUCACUUCUAUGGAGAACAAUUAUGUUUUGGGACUUUAUUGGAGCCACACUACAAAGAAAAAAUACGAGACAAUGACUAAAUGAUUAUAGAACCAGCACACACUAAAGGUUUGAAUUUAAGGUUAAAUCUUCAAUAAUUCUCAUCAAAUUGGAGAGCACAGGAGAUGACAGCAUGAUUUGCAACAACACCUAUCAGUUGAUCCUCCAACUAGAUUCACAGAGUGACCACUUCACUUAAAACAUGCUCUCAAAUGAAAUAUCAUAUAUGUUUUUUCUUCCUUUUGUCCAGAAUACUAGCUGUUCAUCUAGCUUCCAUGUCGCAGAGUGUUAUUCAGUUAGACCUUUGAUCAAACUUUGAACCCAGAAAAAACUGCCCUAGUAACAUUAGUGCAUGUAACAUAAGAGACAUGAGCAAGGGCAUAUUCAGUUGCUACAGCUAAUCCCAAACUAUACUCAGCUUCUUAGUUCUCUGGGCCACAAGCUUUCCAACAACAAAAGGCAGAGAAGUUUAUCGAUGACUUUCUAUCCACUAGUAAACGCACCUGACUGAGCCUCAGCAGCAGAUUACAAUUUUGAACUAUAUAAUCAACAUGACUUCUAAUUCCAUCAAGCAAACUCCCUAAAAAACCUUUUCAAGAAGGAUUCAUGAGACUGUUUAGAAUUGUAAUGAAAUUACCCACGUAUCUCUUUUUCCUCCGGAGCAAAAAAUCAAGAGGUUGUUGCAUAUUAACUUUCUAAAAUAGAACUUAGGAAAAAGCGAAACACUCGCCACAUCACACCAUUACAGUUUCUAAUUUAAACUAACAAUUACAGAAAAAUCACUUUCAGGGAAUGAUGCUUUGCAGCCAAAAAAAAAAACAAGAAGUCUCAAAAUAAUCUACUCAUACAGGUCCAGGCACACUCUUCAGCAACAAGCACUAUUUCAACCUUUCCAUUGUUCCACCAAGCUAACAGUCAACAACCUAGAUCAAUCCAACCUUGACAGCAGUUUGCAUGUUUCCUCGAGGAAGGGAAACUAGCUCAUUUGUAUCAAUAUCAUAGAGUUUUACCUUUUCCUGCAUAGAUUUUACUAGCCUUGAUAAGCCUUGACUAACAACAAGUAUUUGUUAGUAGACAUUCAAUAGUGAAGAAGUAAAUGCAUAAAAGAAUCAAUAUGAACCAAAUGAGAAGGAAGACUGUCUCUCUUUUGACCUAUAGAGACUGGAGAUGUUAAAUCACCAGACACUAGAGUUGACCACAUAGGAUAGUGAAUAAAUUGUUGGUUCACACUUCACACCACUAGGUAUGCCUAAACAAGUAUCAUUAAUCUUCAUUUGCUGUUUACAAUUCAAAGUGUGAUGCUGGAAUUGAUAUUUCUAGAUAAAAGGAUGUCUCUAACUUUUCAGAAAUUCAAGAAAUUUCUAAUUUGACACUUGCAUGGUUUUCCUCAAAAGACAAUCACACGGUUCCUUGAUUUCUUCAUACCUUCAUCCCUUCCGGUUAGGCAAAAGGUUAGUUUUCCCCUUAUGGCUGGAGCUACCUCCAAAUCACCAUAUUUGCUCCAUGUCUUUAAAACUUCUAAACAAAGAUUGCCAAACUAUGCCGAACUAGCCGGUUCGGGGCGUACCAAACCGGACCGGUCGGUUACCAGCACGGUUCGUCUGGCCGGUCCAAUAUAGAGCUCGUCUUUUUUUUAAAGCCUCCCCGCUUGAAGAAGGACAUGUCAAUCGUGUCGCAAGGCUUCAAAAAAGGAAGCCUCCAUCUGAUGUAGCAGAGCUCCAUCCCUGAAACCCUAAUCGACAAAUCCCAGGGGAGUCAACCCUCUCCCUCUCUCUCCCUCGAUCCCCAUUGCUGGGGCUUUGAGCGUCUCUCCCUCCCUCUCUCUUCCCUCUCUCCCUUGAUCCCCAUCGCCGAAUCCGNNNNNNNNNNNNNNNNNNNNNNNNNNNNNNNNNNNNNCUCUCUCCCCCUCUCUCCCCAUCCCUUCCUCACUCCCUCCAUCUCCCUCUUCCUCUUCCUCUCUCUCCUUCUCCCUCUCCCCCUCCCUCUCCUGUUUUCAGUACGCCUUGGAAUGACAUGGUAUGGACCUGUACCAUACCGUGUCAAUUGCCUACCGGUACGACCUCUGGUAUCAGUUUGAUGAAUUUUACUUUUAAAAAACCCUUAGAUCAUUUUCUUGUCAAAGUCACCCUACUACUUCAUGCAACUCUAUGAAAAAAAAUUCCUUGAACAUAGCCGAAGAAAUUGAAUUCAAUUCACCAACUGAAAUGAAGGAUAACCAAAAUGCCCCAACCUUUGACUCUAAGAUAGCUGAGACAAAGGAAGGAUGGAAAAGCGUGCCUGCCAACUCUAUAGUAUGCAUUGUACCAAAUUAUCAAUAUUUUAGAAAUUUUACACAAAGUAUGUGGAAAGCUAUCAGAUAUCUUCGGGCUUCUAGUGGGAAAUAGGAGUUUUUUCUUGAAUUUGGCCAAUAAGAUUCCUGUCGCACCCAACUUUGGGGUUUGGGAAGGGAGAGGCAAGAGUAUCUAUGAUUUUGACACUCCAUAACUGCAUGAAGGGCAUGAGACUCAUGUUUGACCUUGUCAUUCCAAAUAUGUCUAGGUUUGCUUACUCCAUUCGAGACUCCAAUUUUUUCAUUCCAUACGCUAUUCAUUAAAAUUAAAAGCUUGACUGCUAAAUUAGUAUCUAUAGAUAAACCUAAAAAAGGGGCAAUCGGGCUGCGGAUUGGGUGGCCGCCUAUGUGGCCAACCAUGCGGGUGGUAUCCUGUGGGCUAAGGAUAGGGAGUUGCCUCGGACACUUCGAGAUAUUCUGUUUUCUGAUUUUAUUGGGUGUAUUCGUACUCGUCAAGUAUGAGUUACCCAUCCUAGCAAAAAAAAAAAGAGGGGCAAAAACUUGGUUUUUCUUGACUACUGUGUGGAGAUUGAUUCUAUGAAUAACAAAGCUUUAGUUUCUUUUUUCUGGAUAGACGACGAUACUUGCUAGACAAACUGUACAGUACAAGUGCAUUCUCCCAUGUUCCCUAAAUGAAUUUGAGUUACUACUUUCUUCGAAGCUUAUCAAAUUCCUCUUAAGGUUUCAAAAAGCACUGCAUAGUAACUAAUAUGCAAAUAUACACAGUUACUUAAGCAAUUCAUGACCCUUUCCCUUUUAUGAUGUCAUUCUCCAAGCUUGACAUUAAAUUCAUUAAGAGUAGAAGAAAUAACAUAUAUCUUCUUUCAUGCAAUAUAAGGUACCAUACCUUCUAUUACUAAUGCAAAUCAUGCUAAAAAAUAAAUUUUUACAAGGUCAAUCGGCUUUCUAAUAAUCAACAAUUGACGGACAAUUUAUAUCACAAGAGAAAAUAAGAACAUAAAUUUACAGACAUUUGUAGGUAUUUGCAUGCCACAAUUUACACAAAUAUGCACCAAUAGCAACAACUUAUUUGCUACUCUAGUCUUAUACAAAAAACUUUCCAAGCUCAAGGCUAGCACCUAACAAUGAGGUUCAUCGUACCUAUGCAUACCGCUCCGUACUGGGCGCACUACACCGUACUGAUACCAAACCGAGAUUUAGUACAGUAUGUCGAACCAGCCCUAGUACCGCGCAUACUGCCACUAUACCAGCAUGGUACUAGUAUAGGGUCCGAUAACAAGACACUGAACCUUGGCAGACAUGAUCCUCAUUAUCUUCAGCUCGAUAAGCAAAUUGUCCACAACUACUUAACUAGCAUUUCUAAGAACAUCACCAUAUAUAACAAGGGUUUUCUAGUGCACGAGGCUUUCACCACUAUGGGAUAUGGGGAGAGUCAAACGUAUGCAGCCUUACCCCAUGUGUGGAGAGGCAGUGUCUGUGUUUUAAACUCAUGGCACCAGGAUCACGAUGGAGUACCCUUACCUUUAUACCAAGGCCCACCCUCUCUAAGAAAAGUAUAGUAUAUAUUUUUGAAAAUUUUCUGGCUUCUGUCAUGAAGAUUAGGACGCGAACCAAGAUUUGAAAAGUCAAUUUGAUUUCAAUUUUGGGCCUGGUUUUGUUGAGUUUCAGUUUCAAUAGUUUUGGUGGUCUUCAAUGUUUAUCUCCAAGCUUUGCAAUUUCAGUAAUACUGAUAGAAAAAUAAAAAUGCCAAAUAAAAGUUAUUAAAUAAAAGCUUAGACUUUAGGGUAUUUUCUAUUAUAUGGGUUUUUUUAUUGGUGCAGUUUCAUUAUAGACUGAAGUUAACAAUACAUGAAAUACAUUAUCUAUAUCAGUAUUUUGUACAAAGAACAUAUUUUUCUUCAUUUUUUUCAUAGGACUUAUAGAUACUAUAAAAUAUUAUAAUAAUAUAAUAUGACAAAAUGCAUAUAGUUAUAAAAAAUUGUAUAUAUUCUAUAUAAAAAAGAUGUUAUUCCUAUGAAAUGUGUGUACUAGGAUGUUCACUUUAUCUUUGUAAACUACAGUGCUAGGGCCUUUUUGGAGGCCUUGACCCAUCAAGGAUUGUGUUAACAUCAAUCCCCUCUUUGAACUCUUAAAAAAAAAGAUAAAUCAUUGAAAAGUGAUACUACAUAGGUUAUGCAUUUAAUAAAGAAAGAGAUGACCCUGAUAAUAGUAAACACUAAAAUAAAACUUAAAAAAAGACUAGUUCGCUGGUUCAGCCAGUCUCACUUGGAAUUGAUCAGAACAUUUGAAACUAGACCGAAAUCAGAUAAUGACGACCAUAAUUGAUUGAAACUGUUCAAACCCAAAAAUAGAGGUCGAUUUCAAAUCAGUCCAGCCAAAACCAAUCUAUUUUGGUCCAUUCCAGCCAGAAUGGAAUGAUUUAGACCAAAACUCAAAACCUUGCAAACAUGAUAUCUACAAGACACCAUAAAUGCACCACAGGAGACAAACCAAAAGAUCUCCAAGCAGAUUUUAGGUAGGAUUUCAAAAGGGUGGGAAUAGAAAAGGAAUAUCCCAAUUAAGCAUGCUCUUCUUACCAAAUUGAUCUCCAGAACAAAAUGGAUAAGCCCUAGAUUACAUCCCGAAAACAUUAAUGAGAUAGCAACCUGUAGAUUAGAUCUCCUGAGAGCAUGGUACUAAUACAUACUGCCCCAUACCUAGCAUACCGUACCAUAUGGGUACCGAACCGAGAAACCAACCCUCGUACCAGGCAUACCAACACUAUACCAUCAUCGUACCAGUAGGGGGUCCAAUACCAAGAUGGUGAACCAUGCCAGAGAGGAAAAACUUUUUUAGAGAUGUGGGAAAACAAAAAAUCCUAUAAGUAUCAAGAUUUAUACAAUUUAUUUGAGGCCAAUUUCAUGAAUUUUUUCCAACCAUUUAAAGCUACCUCAGCACCUCUGCUAUCAAUAAGAGCUUUUCCAAAUCCUCUCUCCCAAUCACCAUUCACAUAACCUUAGGUCUUCUCAUUUCUCAUAGCUCUUUAGACAAAUUCGAAAACAUGUUCUAUUAAUGUCUUCUGAGGUCAUCACUGGACAUGCCCAUACCCUCUCAAUUGAUAGUCCAUCAUGUAUACUAAUUUGGUGCAAGUCCUACUUCUCUAAUGUAGAAAAAAUGUAUGAAACCAAAGGAAGUAGAUAAGGAAAAGAUGAAGACAGAUGAAUAAAACAGAAAGAAUGAAAAAGGCAAGGAUGAAGAAAAAUACUUAAAGAAGAUGGGGGAACUUGACACCCAGUGAUUUGUUGAACUGCCAUUUUGAUUAGUCCUUACACAGUUGGACCGUUUUCAGACACAGUUAUACAUUUUUCAAUACAUAAUUAUUUGUUUUAUGCAUAUUUAUGCACAACCAGAGAUUAGAAAUAAAAUGGACAUCAAAAGCAAGGACCAGGAAUAACUUCUUCAGUUAACAGGAAUUAAACAUAAUAUGACAGUCAAUCAGGGUCAGACCUCAAUAUACCUGAGAGUAAGAUGAAUAAAAUGAUUAGAAUGAUCAGUAGAUAUUGCUCCUCUUUGAUUAGACAGUGUAACGACUUGUGAUAACCAAAAAUUAGAAUGUCCCUCCCAAGGUUCGCCGUCUCGGUACCGGACCCCGUACUGGUGCCACACUAGCACAGUAUCAAUAUGGUAUAGUACGAAGUAUUUUUGGCGUACCGAGUGUUGGUACACCACCCGUAUCAGAUACCGGUACCGAACCAAUAUGGUAUAGUAUGCUCCGUACCGCUCGGUUCAGGCCGGUAUAGCAUGCCAUGGUCCCUCCUAAGUAGCUUGGUCACUUAUUGGUAUUUUACAUAUUUUGCAUCUUAUAUGUGAUGCCAAUUACAAUGAAAAAAUAGUGAAAAGGCCCAAUAUGUUAAUACAUAUAGCAGACACCAACAAAUAUGUAAGCAUAUAACUUCAAAAAAAAAGAAAAAAGAAAAACCCCAAGCUUAAACGUAAAUUAGGCACCAAUAGUAUGACUAUGACACCAAACUAACUCAAAUCAAUGUUCUUACAACAAUAACGAUGACAGCAUACGGGUUAGGACAUAAGGAAAAAUUUAAAUCAGUUUAAACUAUUUUUAUGCAGUCUUUAUUUUUGAGAUGUAAUGAUCUGCAGGACGAAUGAACGGUUCUUUUAAGGAAAAUAUAACAAAAGAGAUAAUACAAAACUCAAGUAGGAAUGUAACUAUACUCACAAUACCCCCAUUACACUCUUUACAAUUGACUGGAACUCAUCAUCUGUGUAUUCACGAGUUGGAAAUGGAGCAAUACUAAUGUUUGCUGGACUGUACUGUGUCCAUGGAAGGUUGAUAUGAGAAUGAAUGCCAUAUGGGUGGAACAACGGCAGUGCUCUAUUCUCAGGGGUAGUAUGAGUUCCAUUUUGCUGUGCAAGAAGUAUUACUAAUGAAUCCACUACCUUCUGCAACUGCAAGAACAAAGUAAAAAAAGAUUAAUUUUGUAAGAAAAAAAUGAAGCACCACAUAUAACAAAAGUAUCCAAUCGUAACCAGCCCCCUCCACCGCACCCCACCCCCCCCCCAACGUUUCAUGGCUGACUUGUGGCCCCUAGCCAGGUUUCAUUUGACAUGUUUUAUGUUUUCUAUUUCUCAACAAGUUCUGAUUUUAUCACUUGUUUGCCAUGUUUGUGCCUAUUUCGUCAUCAGAAGGAGAACAGGAGUUAGAAUGAAGCCAAAACAGAACUUGGGGCCAAAACAGAACUUGAUUUUAUCCACCCCCCCCCCCCCCAAACAGCCGGAAAAGAAAAACAUGCAAAGUAGCAUAAUUUAUUCAUAAGGCAAAUAUAGAGAAUUUAAUUAUUCAUAGCUUAGAAAGCAGCUUUCUGAAUCACUUGAUAUGUAGCAUUUUUAAAGCCAAAGAAAUCUUCAGAGGACCAGCAAUCAAAAGGAAUGUGAAAGUGAUAAUAAAAUAGAAAAGCCACAACAAGGCACAAAUCUCCAAACAAUAUAAUCUACAAGUUACAAAAAUCAGUUAUCCUGACGCAAGAUGGAGAAGCUAAAAGGGAGAGGAGAAGAACUCAUACAGUCAGAAAUCCGCUAAAUCCAUACUGAUGAGUUGGUACAAUAUUGACACCUAACUCCAAGUCAUCAAGAUACGGUCCAUUUACAUCCAUGAUAGUUUUAACAUCAGGAAAACCUGAGAAAGCCCAUGUGUGGUUAAGACGUAUGCUAUAGUCAAAUAUUUGAGGACCUUGUGUAUGAAAUACUACUGCUCCUUUGAUCAUGGGGUACGAAAAGUUCCUGAACAGAGAAAGAUGAUUGUCAGAAUCUAUGAAACUAAGUAAUAAAAAUAUCGACUUUCCAAAAAAAGUACUGCAUUCUUUAAGCUGAAAACAUGUAAAAAAAUAUAAAAUCUGAAAAUAUUAGACAAGUCCACAUGAAAUAUGAAGGACCAACCGGCUUGGGAAAAUAGCUCAUAUUUAAUUCCGAAAAAAUGAGAGGGAUUGAUGAAUUUUCAAUGAUAAUCAUAUUUUAAAUAUAAUAACAUAGAUAAGCUUUCAUGCCCAAAUUUUGUUAUUGUAGACAAGUCCAGAACUCCAGAUAUUUAGGUCCAGACCAUGUACACUUCUAUUUUAAAUUUAAUUCAACUCAGUUUCAGUUGGUUUAAUCUAAUUUUUGUGAUAACUAAAUUGAUGAAUGGCAUGCUUCCAAUGCUCUGUAUCAGCUAAUCCCUCUUACCGACCUCCAAAACUUUAGACUAGCAAAUUAUCCAACCUUUAGAUAUCAUUCUAAAUAUGCAUAGGACACAUAACAGGAUCUGAAAAUCUAUCAAGUCUCAAAUGAUGCAGUCCAGAAGGCCAUGUUCCCACAUGUAGGAUCUGGAAGCUGCAUGGGGAGUUCACUUGACCAAACAACACACUUGAUCACAGAAGCAAGUUUAAAAUUCAUGAUCAGAAGAUAUUAUGGUCUGGAAAAACUAUUAGGAUAGAGAUAUAAUGCAAUAAGAAGCAUUGGAAAACAACCAAUUAUUGAAUUAUUGAAAAUCUAAAGAAAACCAUAAAACCAAAUAAUAGUGCAACAAAAAAGGCACAAUAUCCAGCAGGAAGAUGAUCUGAAAAGAGAAAACAGGUUGUAAUAGAGACGGGAGGAAAUAUCAGAGAAUAGUCUGGUCAUAUAUCAGCAGAAUUUCACAGGAGGAGCAAAAACCAUUAAAGCUCCAUGAUGGUGAUUUUAGAUCCUUCCAUACUUAAACAAGAGGCCCCCGGAUCUAAUUUUAUCCAGGAAAAAGGAAAAUUAUAGUAUUAACAAACAUAAUACUAAAUCCUGAAGAUUCCAUUAGAUCAUUAGAACUGUUGAGAGACAGAUGACUGGAACAUUGAUUAAAGCUUUCUCGGAAGAUAAAGCCAAUGAUCUUUGCUAAUUCUGCAUACUUCUUAUCAUGUCAUUUGCAACAGGUUAAAGAAUUCCAGCAAUGGCCCUGUAGCAUAUAGCAGAAAGGGAACAAGUUUGUCAAGUUUUCUUGGAAGAUUAAAUCCACAGUUCAUGCUGAUUCCAGUAAAAUUCUUAUCGCAUGGCUGGCAACAGUUCAAAACUUUAUAGCAAUGGUCCGAAGAUUAAAUUUCCAGCAAAGCAGAGGUCAUUAAGGAUCCAAUUUUAUGAUUGCCAUCAAGAACACAGGAGUGAGUAUCACUAGACCAGACUUAAUGAAGUCAUGGAAGUUUGAACCACAAUUUGCAUUACUUAUCAACUGAGAUUAAAACAGGUGUUGGAGUGAAUGCAAGUGCAAUACUUCACUAGUAGAUAGAAGUACCCACAUAUGCAUGCACGGACGCACAUAUGCAUGCUUGCAUGCAUAUACACAGGUACGAGCAAAUAUACACACUGGCGAACACAUGCACCCUGCACACAACCAUGCCCACUUCCACACCAACAGACACAUCAAUGCAUGCACAGAUGUCACAGCCAUUAUAUAUCAUAUAUAACUUGCCAAACCUUUUUAAGAAUCUGGCUUCAGCUUAUCAAAUAUCACAAUUCACUGACUAGAUUUUGAGAAUUGUUAUUUAGGUUAAAUCAACUGAACAAUCCUAGGGAAUCCAAACUGUAAUUAAGAGCUUCAGUAGUAUUUUGGACAAAAGAUUAAAGUUCACAACAACGAUAACAAGGCAUGUGAAAAGAAACAUAACUUACUUGUCUUGAUCAUUAACGCCAUAAAGAUCUGAGCGUAUGUAAGUUUCUAGGUCUAGCUCAUCUUUGUAAAUUCUCGCGACCAUCUAUUAACAGGCAGAAGAAGACCCAUCAAAAUUAAGUUAUAGUUGCAAUUAGCCCAUAGAAGAGAUUGAAAAAAGCACCACAAAGUACAACUCAAGGCAUGAUUUAACAAAGAAAUUUAUAUUAAACAUAAAUGGUGAUGUUGAAAGUGGAUACCAUAGAAAAACAUGACCAACAUAACUAAGAUAACUAAAGCACAUGGCUUAUAAGUGGGAAUGAAUAGAAUACUAGGAUUCAUAAAACCAACCCUGCAUAGUUGGGACAAGGACAAUUGCAAAGGCUAUGCUUUUUGACAGCUCAUAAACAUAUUUAUUGAAUAAAUUAAAUUAUUAUGAUUUAAAUUUCCACUUUUUAGUUUUUUGUAAACUCUUGAGUCAUCAAUCAUAAGAGAUUAUCUACUCUUGCCGAUCCUUAAUUAUUUUAUAUGGUUCUUUUGCUUUAGAAUGUCCCUGUUGAUGCCCUUUUGAUGCAACUCUAAAGACUGCCCUCAUGUGCUUAAGAGGAUGUGUUAAAUCGUAAACUUUGGGAUGAUCUUAUUUUCUCAUACUUUCAUUUUUUGCUUGCAACCAGUCAUUUAUUUAAAGAGCCACAGUCAUAUAGUGAGGUGACUCGGCAUCCACGAUGGCAGACAAACAAAAACGAAUACCAUGCACCUUCAAAGACCCACAGAUCUCAUGAUAAAGAUUUAAGAUGAAACCAAGUGAACAUACAAGGUCAAGACUCAAGACUGACUUGGAUGGUUAUGCUCUACAGGAGUUUUAUUUUCAUCAUGGUUCUAAUGAGAAGUAUGGAAUUGACAACUCUAGAAAAGAUCAGAGACCAGAAUUUGGGAUCACCAAUGUGCAGAGUCAAUCUCUUUAUUAAAUGAACACGAAGAAUGCACUUUUACCACCAAAGUUUGAAACUCGUGUAUGAAUCCUGUAUCAUUCAUAUAAGGGUAUGGUAGGAGAUACAAAAAGAUACCCCCAUGUUGAUACAAGUUGAUACAGUGUGUAUCAAGACAGUACAGUAUGGUCAAUAUCAAGCCUUGUUUACCAGCAGUGGCAUCUAAUAGGUCCAUAAUAGAUCAUAGUGUAACAACAUCCCUAACUUCAUGACAUCUAUAAGGUGUUGUUGGGCAUUUACCCUAAAGUAUAACUUGAUGGGACCAUAUCACAAAAGUAAGCCCAAAUUAGUAGCAAAGAAAUAUAGCCAAUUAACAGUAAUCAAUUAUGCAGAGACCUUGCUCCAAAUGAUAGGCACAAAUCUACACAUUCACCUCAUCGCAGUAGUAUAUAAUUCAUUUGCAUCAUACCAUAUCUGAAAAAUGCUUUGAGUGUCAACAAGAAAGCAUACACCAGCAUAGCCUCAGGUGUCAAGGGGGUAAAUUAAGCAAACUGAAAAAAGUUAAAAUUAUUGCAGUCAACUAAAGUGUAGUCUGCUAAUUCGAAGUAAGUAAUGUACAUAUUGUGACAAAAAAACAUCAAUUAUUGUGUUGUAUACGUAGAAGAACAAGAAAAUGAUCAUAGUUUCAACGACCUCCAUAAACAUUCUGCUCACUGGAAAUGAUGACUUGGAGAUUGGAAGUACAAAGGAAUAGCACAAUAAACUCCUUAAUAUUAAGGAUUCAUACACAAAGCAAGAAGUUAGAGGAAGAGAGCAAACAACGCAUUUUGCUUAGGGCAACCAAGGUGGUAAUAACAUAACAGCUAUAGAAAAAUGGUCAGUUUAUAGUGUGAUCCUAUAGACAUGAAGCUGCCUCCACCUUUUCUCUAUAUCAUAAAUUAUCACUUUAAAAGAGUUUCCUAGGAAGGAAAAAAGAACCAUUCUGUAAAAUGUGGUUUCCCACUCACCAAGAAAUCAACAACUUGAUCUGUUGGCAACCCCCCCCCCCCCAACUGAAAAAAAAAAAGUAAUAGUGCACAAAGUGAGAGCCAAUCUCAAUAUAAAUGGUAUAGUCAUGUAGCACCAAGUUGCUGACAAUUUAAACAUUAAUUUAUCAUGGAAGAAAGGUAAAUGCAUCACAAGGGAUUAACGGGCACUAAAGACAAACAAUGCUGAUGGAGGCAUCAGCCAAAGUGUGCUACUCCAUUUAAGCACUCAUUCACGAAACAAUGUCCUUGGUUCUUUAUCCAAUAAUAUAUUUUUCUUCCUAAUUUUUUUUCUUGCCUCUUCCUCCUUCAUUUUCUUCUCCUUUUCUCUCAACUUUUCCUCCUUUCCUUUUCUUUUCCUUCCUUUCCUCCUAAUUCUUCUCUAACUUCUUUCUUUCCUCUUUUUGCAAAUCAUGGUUAUGAUAGUACUAUAACUUAGAGGCAUGUAAGGCUUUUUUGUUAUGCUUGGUGCAUGAUAAACAAAUUUUAUGAUGCAAAACCAUGUAUUUUUUACUAUUUAAUGAACAUUUUUAGUUAUGGAAGCAUAAUUCUUAGCAUUAGCAUCCUUUCAUAUCUAAGCUACUUCCUAGGCAUUUUAGCGGGUCCACCACCUAGCAUUGCCUGGCAAUUUCAUGCCCUUGGCAGCAUUGAAAAGCAAUUGGGCUAAAAUGUGCCGAGGGUGAUAUUGGUUUACCCAGCAUUACCACCUUUGCCUAAAAUUUGCCGUAGGCCUGACAUAAAUGAAGUUCAGCAUAGCCCGUUGUGUUGAGAGCUUAGCUCCAGCAAACUCAGAGCAGCCCAAGUUUGAGUUUUGACUCAAGUUAGUUGAAAGCUCAAAGAGAUGCCAACCAUCUCAAUCUGAAUAAUUGGAAACUCAAAUUAAGAGAAAUCAAAUAAUUGAGCAAACAAAUGAGGUUUCUGAUAUUGAACAUAUACCAAGAAAAAUUUACUAAGAAGCUACUGAAAAUUUCCCAUUGUGUCAUGCAUAUGGCACACCAAUGUGUGUAAUAUAUUAAUAUAUAUAUAGGCAAUACAACAUAUACUCUACUCGAGCCUAAGUGGGGCUGCUGCACUCACAAACUAUUGUCCUAAGCUUGACCAAGAUUCAUGUCAAGCAACAAUUUUCAGGCCUAAGCAUACCUUCUUCCACUGGAUCUGUUCGUUGCAUGUAUAAUUCUGUCUUAUUCAUCACAGAGAUGCCAAAGUCAUGUGGCUGUAUAUUUCACAUAUUCAUCUCCUAGUUUUAAUUAUAUGUCCAUUUUCUCCAAAGUUCUUUCAUAUGACUGAGUGACGCAGCAAAGGAAGAUACAGAUACGCAAAACCUUCAAGCAAAAAAGGGUCUUUUUUGUGAAGCAAAUGGUCGGCAGUACCUUUAGGAGUGGGAACUUUAGGGAUAAUACAUCCAACAUCAAUCUCGUUUCAUUGGUGUCAGGUGCAAAAGCCAAAUGUUCACCUUUGACAACCAUCAAUUUCAAAAUGUCAUCGAAACUCGGAGAAAUCUCGCUGUUUCCCACUUCAACAAACAUGCCCUUUCGAAUAUACCUGGACAGAAGCCCAAUUAAAUGCCUUCAUGCUAAUGCUUACUCAAAAACUUACAUAAGAAAAAAGGUAUAAAGCCAGAAGAGUGAUGGAAAUCCAGAUAUAUCAUACGCUUGUACGGGGUGAAUUUGUGUAUCGACUCCUGACCGAACGCCAACUAGCAUCAACAUCACAAUAGUCGGCAGUAGAAUCUGCACCAAUAGCAAAGAAUUCAAAAAUUCAUACCCUGUUCGUCUGAGAAAACAAAAAAGCAGAUGCAUAAUCCAGCAAGAACCGGAAUUUAUACAAGAAAGGACGAAAAAAGUGAUCUUUUGAGCGAAAUUUUCCGCCAACGCCCAAAAAUAAUGUAUAAAAGUAAUGAAAUUAAAAGAAAGGCGAGAAUUGAAUCCCUCAAAAGAGAGAGGGAUGAAAACCUCGGCACAAGUGGCGACAGGAUGGCGGAUUUUAAGGAGCCAGUUCUUUCGGAGCAUCGCUCUCAGCUGCCGCCGAGAGCUCCCCAUAUCUCUCUCCCCCCUGCAAGAAUCCCUCUUUCUUUGUUCCAAGGAUACAGAAGAGACCACCAAUUACUCGAUAAAACGAAGAGAGAGGGAGAGAGAGAGAAUAUGGAGGAAGCGGAGACUGCGUGGGUGGAGGGGAAAGGAGACGCGAAGAGAGAAGACUUUGGAAAAGAGAGGAGGGCCUGAGGGGUUGCUUUCGAGGAUCAUUUACAUUUGGUAAAGCGGGGAGAGGGAGGGCCCAGCCGCCGCCCGGGUGGGCGGCCGAGUGUGGUGGCCCAAGGUGGUGCUCGGAAGUUGCCAAAAGAAACGGAUGGGGUUACUGGCGCGUAGCGCACUGAUAUUUCUGUGGGCCAGUACAUGGGCUUGACCUGCCCCCACGUCGAGCCUAUAUCAAGCGUUGGAUCGGACUUGUCCUGAGAAAGUUUCCUAGAUAGAUUCUACCAUAGGUUGGUGGCGAUCGCCGUCCGGAUCGAAGUCGUAUCCUUCGCAUAUAUAUCUUAAAAUAGCUAUAACUAGUAAAUAUGGUUACAUAACUACAUAUUAUAUUGAUCCAAAAAUAGCUAUGCAAAAUAUAGUUCAUCUUGUAAAUAUAUCUUAAAAAAGUAUAUACCUACAAAUAAUUAUUUCACAUUGAUUGCAAUGGCAUAGAUGUUCUAGAUCAUGCAUUCAAUAUAAUAAUAGAGAUAUGUGCUGGUAGUUUCUAGUGCUACAAAAUAGAAGGCUAAAAUCACUGUUUUUCAACAUUUCUACGUGCCACCAAAAUCUAUUUGCUUGUAACCAAUACAAAAUUUGUAUUAUUCUUAAAUGUUGACCAGAAUCUUCUACUAACAAUAAAAAAUAUUAGUCAAAAUAUUUUGAAUUUAAGUAGGAUAACCAUUAUAAUAUAAUUUUCGGUAUUUAUAAGUGUUGUACGAUGCAACCAUGGUAUCCUUUUAAAUGUAGGAAAGCCCAAUAGAAGUGUCGCAAAAAAGCCGUAUUUCUAUUGACGUUUUAUGAAAAUGCCGACAUAUAAUUCCUGAGAUAACUUUGACUUGCAUUUAUAUGGCAUUUGAUAGGGAUGUUGGUUUUGAAGUGCCUGGCAUUUUUGUGCCUUCUAUUGGAAAUCUUUGAAUGUUGGCAAAAGCCAUUACUAUUGUAGCAAGCCAUCUCCAAUCCUAAUGCUUCUCUUGCCCCCAAGCAUGGUUCUAAAUGCAACUGUUGCUUCAUUUAGUAAAGUGAAGCAAUGAAUCACCUUCUUAUGUCAAAUGAUAUUUCAAAAUUUAUUUAACCCAUUUUGAUAACCAACUAGAUGUUUCCUUAUUUCAAUCUAUGGAUAAGACUUAGUAGCUGACCUAAAAUGGCAUCAAUGGAUAAGACUCCUAGUUUUACCGCGAUCAUAAAUCGAAAAUCAUGGAAAGGGUGCAAUGAAGAAGAUUUGAAAGUAAAUAUAAUCAUACUCACCAUAUUGUUAUGAAAGAUUUUUUUGUUAGUUGACAUUACUAAAUUAUUUGCUAGCUCUCUAUUUCAUUGCUACAUGAAUCUUCAAUUACCUAUAAUUCAUUUAUCUAUUGCAAAUAAUAAGCAAAUAUUUUGAUAAUAAAUAAGUAAUUAAUUUGGCUUCUUGAUCUAAACUUCCUCUUAGAUCCCUCAAAUUAAAGAUAAGUGGAGAGGAGGCAUUGACACAGGUUGGAAGGUAUAUCACGGGCUUUUGGAACAACACAAUUGAAGGAAAAGCAGUAUGAACUAAUAACCUAAACUAGAAAAGUAAUUAAAAAGAUAAAUUAAAAGAUAUUAAACUAAAUGAUAGAUUAUAACUAAAUUUAUGGCUAGAAAGAUAGCUUGUAGCUUGUGCUGCUACUUAAAAUCUUGCCCAUGCUUGGAAUUCAUAAAGAAUAUUUGAAAAAGGCUACGACCCUCUAGAAUCGACAACUUAUUAAUUCUCGAAAUUCUUUAGAAUUUGCUAUACAAGCCACGCAAAAUCAAUUAUGCAAACCAUUCCAAAAAGAAACAUGAGUUAGCAUAUACUUAAAAGGGACAAAUUUUUAUUGAUUCAAUUAUAAAAUAUAUAAGCGAGGUAUUUAUAAGCCCCGUAGGGCAUGACCAGAAUUCAAAAUUUUAGAAAACCUAAAUAAUCUAGGAUGAAUUCUUUACUAAAUCAUCACAAUAUAUAAAAAUUAUGGGCAAUAAUAUGAGAAACUAAUCAAACAUUAGCUGUUUCUAAAUCUUGUUUUUUUAUGUUCAUAACAAAAUUAAGGACCUAUAAUUUAACGUUAUGUGUCAUCCAAUUGAAUUUACCGGAGAUUAUUAAAACUGCAGAUCACUUUUCGGUAUUUUUUUUAAAAAAUAUUAUGAUAUAUAAGCAUUUAUGAAUUUUAGAGAAUUAAAAAACGAAAAAAAGAAGGAAAAGACCAAUCUACCCAAUCACCGGGGAGCCUUAUCCUCCGCUUCCGCCCUUGCGGUCGGUCCAUUUCCAAUGGCCACCGCCCCCUCCGACCCCUCCAACCCUCCAAACCCCUCCCUAAACCCCCCCAAAUUCACCCAGCACCCGAGAUGGAUAAAACCCACCCCCAGAACCAAACAAGACCGUUCAUGGGAGGAGAACAGGCUAGUCGGCUUCGUCGACUACGACAAGGGCAGGCGCUGCGUCUCCACCGAGGUGAGUGGCGUCGGCAAGGACCGAAUCCCCGCCAGGUACCGCCUCCGCGUCGAGGGCAGCCGGUGGCAGAAGGAUUGGAAGGUCUCCGAGGUCGUCGACCGGGUGCUGAGGCUCGACCACUGGGAGGACAUCGAGGGCGUCCUCAAUUGCUGGGUCGGCCGGUUUGCCAGGAAGAACUUCCCACUUCUUAUCAGAGUAUAUUAUCAUCAUUUUCUUCUCUUUCACUUCCUUGAUCUUUAGCUGUAAUUUUAUCUAAUAAUUCGAGUAGAAGUUAGCUAUAGUGGAUGGAAUAUUAUUGUUGUAAAGUCGAAAGCUAAGUAGUAAGCGAGGGAAAUUGAUGUUGCCGAUCUAAUCUACAGGCUGGUAAAGGUCACAUUGGAAAAAAGAUAAUUUGGUAUCAUAUCAACGACUUUGAGACGGGCAAGCGUGCUUUUUAGACAAUAUAUACAAGAUGUGAGACUCUAUGGUGUUAAAGAGGGCAGGGAUUAAAAUUAGGAUUCAGGUUAAUUACCUGUGAGGAUGAUGGAACAAGAAAGAAACAUGAUACAAGAACUUAAUAUUGGUAAUGCUCGAUAUCUGAACAUGUGUACUGCAGUUAAAAAAAUCUAAUGAACAUAUUAGUAUUGCAUGUUGGAUUAAACAAGUAAAACAAAGAGCUCAAAAGUUGGGUUAUUUGAAAGGUAGAAUAUUUUAAGGGAUUCAACUGAAUAGUAAUAGAUUUUGGAUAGGUUUGGUUUUAGCCAUACACACAGUAACUAGACAUUUAACUGUAUUGCUUCAUGCUGCUGUAUCGCUGCUAUGUGCUAUGUCUUGUAGUGAUGUUGGCAGUGCAGUAAAAAUUUUAUCUCUUGUGAUGGAUACAGAUCUGCACUUUAAGCCUCAGCAUAAUUGCAUAGAAAUAUGAAAGAAAACAGAUUGUCAACACAAUGAUUUUUUAGAUUCUCCAAAAUGUAUAUAUACAAAUUAGGCAACCAGAUUUUUUUUGCAAAUAUGUUGGUUUAAAUUGCUUUUUUUUUUGUGUCAAUGAAUCGGUCCAAUUCUUAUGAAAAUCCGACUUUCAUGGGAAACCCUGAUUUGUUGGUUAGACUCAUAGCAUAUCAUUUUUCCUUUCUUCUUUUGGAGUUGUAUUUCAUUCAUAUAGUGUUUAAUAUAAUAACAGUUACAUGAUAUCUGAAUGCAUUCACUGCACUCAUGUAAAGCAUGUAUCGUCACCACUUAGUGCAAAUGAACUCCUUUUUUUUCGUUUUUGUUUGUCACUUGUAGAAGGAUCGAUUUAGCUGAUUCCAUAGACCUUGUGGAUAUCUGAUGGUGUCUCAUCAAGUCAAGUAACCUAUGGCCAUCAUACUUUUGUUGAUUUGUAUAAAGUAAUGUGAGGCAUGUAUGGUUACAUGAACUUAAUGCACUAAUCCAUUAGGUAGGUCAUCCUGAAUGUAUCAAAUGCUUUUGGUCAGCAUGUGACCUCACAUUCCAUGUAGGCAAAUGUACGUAUAUUACUAAAGGGCAAAUAUACGAAUAAUACUGAAGUGCUUCUUUCUUAUGAGAAUAUGUUCACAAAACAUUCUAUAGAGACCUGAGAAGUUCUUUUUCCUUUUUUGGAUUUUAUUGUAGGAAAUAACAAACACUGGAUCCCUUGACCAUGCUGUUCAUGUGUUUCACUGGAUGAAAAAUCAGAAGAACUAUUGUGCUCGGAAUGACAUAUACAACAUGAUGAUAAGGUUACAUGCGAGAUAUAAUCGAACAGAUCAAGCACGUGGCUUAUUCUUUGAGAUGCAAGAGUGGAGGUAUGGAUAGAAAAAUUCCAACAGUAUUACAAGGUAUUGCUUGUAAUGUUAGAUACUGGCCGGGAUGCAAGCUUUGGAAUAAAGAUCAUUAUGAACCUUUAUAGUUAUAUCAUGGAAUGGUUGGGUUAGACUAAGGGCCUGUUUGGGAAAUUCAGCUAGAUUUCCUACUGGUUUCAUGGAUUGGGCAGCCUAUUUGGAUAUGACCUAUAUCAACGCAACACCCUUGCAGCCCAAAUCCUGUGGCAGGAAGAAAAAGACCUCCAUAUCUUUUUUCUUGCAGAUCAAAGAGCCUAUUGGCUAGAAUUGAGACUAGGACUUAGGCGAGUCUUAGAAGACUGCAGGCUGGGCGGGCCAAUAAGCCCGAUUCGUGCAGGGUAUUCCUGCAGGAUAUCCAAAUAGGCCUUAAGUGGUUUAAUGAUCCUAUAUUUUUCACUGCAUCAAAUUUUUGACUGCUGUUUUAUAAAACUUGAAGACAUGAAGUUUGUACAUGUGAUAGUGGUAUCAUGUUUGGAUCUUGAAUACCAUAUCUGAGAAAUUGAAUUAUAAGUCAUGGAAAGCAAGUCAUUAAUGUUUUGCCAGCCAUACCCUUCAAAGAAAGAAAGAGUAUUGUUAGCCAUCUUUUGGGACUAAUUUUGCUACUAUGUUAAUUUCUAUUUCAGUUUCAUGUGAUACAUACUAUGGAUUUGAGGAGAAACAAUAUGCUUUGUUAAUUUUACUUUUAUUUCUUUUAUUUAAUUUUUCAUCUUUUUUACAGCUUGAAAGCAUUAUAUUCUGAAGACGGAUACAAUAGUGUAUCACUUAAUUUUAUUUUCUAAAUUCUAUUGUGCUAAUUUUGAGAAAAUAAUGCCAUUUCUAUCUUAAUAUUAUUAAUUUAAAUGCGGAUGCCAUCCUUCAUUACAAAAUUGCUGAACUAUGUUUAAUUUUCUCUUGUGUUUUGUUGUGGGUUGGCUCAUAGCAUGCCUUAUUUUCUUAUUAGAUGCAAACCUGAUGUUGAAACUUACAAUGCUCUCAUCAACGCACAUGGGCGAGCUGGUCAGUGGCGGUGGGCUUUGAAUAUAANNNNNNNNNNNNNNNNNNNNNNNNUAUGUAUUGCACUUAUUGGUUUGCACCUGAUAUUUUUGUAGUUAUUUUUAUGUGGAGGUUGUGUUUGAGCUUGUUUGGUCAACUAGCUAUCUGCAGUCUCUUGAUAAAUAAAUAUAUGGUGCGAACCACUGAUUCCAGUCAUGUUCAGAUUUAUGUUUCCUUGGUGUCUUGCUUAUGUCAUUGUUACUUGUUAGGACAAUAAUAUUCAUCCAUAUUACUGCAUGUUCCCUUGUCAUUGGUAUCUAAAUGUUGUUUAAUAGCUGAAUUUAUCAUAACUAAUCAGGGAUUGAAGACCUGGUUCAUACUGUUCCAUACCAAGCACACCAUAUUAGACUGGCAGCAGACUGGUUCACUGUACAGUGUUGGUAUCUGAUUGCUUGCAGAACUGGUCUGUCUCAGUCUGAAAUGCUUAGAACCAACUGGUACAGACCAGCAGCUACCACUUUUGCUUGAUACUGGUCAGUAACAAGUCAAAAGUAGCCCACCUUCUUUUUUCCCUGUUUUGCAUCUGAAUAGGGAGAAGCGAGUGAUGGGAGGAGAAAGAGAGAUAAGGAAGCUUGUGAGAGCUCAGGUCCUGCUGAUGCAACCCAUCUCCUCCCUUUUUGCUUUGCAUAUCACCUAUUAUGUAUAACUCCUCUUCUGCAGACUAGCAGUCCAAUGUUUAGAUAUUGUAAUGAUUAAGAACCUCACUAGUAGGUGCUUUUUUUGAUGUCAAAUGAAUAUGUACACUGUUGUUCAUAUCUUUCAGCUUUUCUGACAAGUUCUACCAUCAAAAUAUAUAUUUCUUUCCCUCUUAUGGAUCUACAAGUUAUGAUACCAUAAUUCUAAGUAUUUUACGUUAAUUCUUUUUGUUGUUUAAUAUUUUCUAAAUCACUGAAACAGAUACCUCCGAGCCGAACUACAUACAAUAAUUUAAUCAGUGCUUGUGGAUCUGGUGGUAACUGGAAAGAGGCUCUUGACAUUUGCAAGACAAUGACAGAAAAUGGUGUUGGACCUGAUUUGGUGACUCACAACAUUGUUUUAUCGGCUUUCAAGAAUGGGGCUCAAUAUUCCAAAGCUCUGGCUUAUUUUGAACUUAUGAAAAAUACAAAUAUAUGCCCCGACACUAUUACUCUUAAUAUUGUUAUACAUUGCCUUGUCAAACUUGGACAAUUUGGAAAAGCUGUGGAUAUGUUCAACACAAUGAGGGGAAAAAGAGCAGAAUGUCCCCCAGAUAUCAUAACAUUUACCAGUGUUAUUCAUGCAUAUUCUGUUUGUGGACAGAUUGAAAAUUGCAAGGCAGUAUUUGACAUGAUGCUUGCUGAAGGACUGAAACCUAAUAUUAUUUCUUAUAAUGCACUUCUUGGUGCUUAUGCUUCACAUGGAAUGCAUGUGGAGGCAUUAACUAUUUUUAAGUUAAUCAAGCGGAACGGACUCCGACCAGAUAUUGUAUCGUAUACCUCUUUACUCAACGCCUAUGGCAGAUCUGGACAGCCUGAGAAGGCCAGAGAGGUCUUUGACAUGAUGAAACGAAACUCAUGCAAGCCAAAUAGAGUGAGUUAUAAUGCAUUAAUUGAUGCUUAUGGAUCUGCGGGAAUGUUGGAGGAAGCUGUAGAAGUGCUGCGCGAGAUGGAAAGGAAUAGUAUUCAACCAGAUAAUGUCUCAAUAAGCACGCUCUUGGCAGCCUGUGGCCGAUGUGGUCAAAUUGUUAAGAUUGACUCUGUACUUUUUGCAGCGAAAUCCCGUGGCAUUAAAUUAAAUAUAGUUGCAUACAACUCGGCCAUUGGAAGCUAUAUGAGUGUUGGGGAAUAUGAUAAAGCUUUAACAUUAUACAAGUUGGUGAGAGAAAAUAAAAUAAAACCUGAUGCUGUUACCUUUAAUAUAUUAAUUAGUGGUUUAUGUAAGGUAGGAAGACACGCAGAAUCUCAGAAAUUUGUCGAUGAGAUGAUGGACAUGCAGAUUCCUAUAUCCAAGGAGGUAUACUCAUCUUUGAUCUGCAUGUACAGCAAACAGGCAAGUGCUAGUGACUUGCAUGAUAUAUCUACUUAAAUACAAAUUAUGAUGUCUUAUAAGGCUUUUCCUUUCAGGGUCAACUAACAAAAGCAGAAUCUACUUUCAAUAUGAUGAAGGAGACAGGCUGCUUCCCUGAUGUUAUAACGUACACUUCCAUGAUACAUGCCUACAGUAUAGCAGGUAAUAUAUUUCCUUUAUCUGUAGCAAGGAUAAAAAAGUUGGUAAAAGAAUUUUGCUCACAGGAUAUUAAUUGUGGACUGCUUUAGAGAACUGGAAGAAAGCAUUGGAGAUUUUUGAGGACAUGGAAAAAAAUGAUAUCCGGCCAGAUCCUAUUGCAUGUUCGGCCCUUAUGGAAGUUCUAAAUAGAGGAUGCCAACAUACCAAGGUUCUUCAGAUGGCAGAGUUGAUGAGACUGAAGCAUAUUCCUCUAAACUCAAGUGCCUCUUUUGAGAUUAUUUCUGCUUGCAGCAUGUAAGUUACCUGUUUCUUACUAAAUGUAAUGCUUUAAUUUAGAAUUGGUGCUUCUAGAUGGUAAUUAUUGCCGCUCCUUGUCUUUGUUGUCAUUUAUAUCCUUUUUCAGAUGAUGCUGAUUGUGGUUGAGCUUAUUAAUCUAAGACCAAUAGCAUUAUGUUAACAAUGACAUUGUUAUAUAUGAUUAGAAACUGAUUAAUGUGGAAAUUAUUAAUGACUGUUUGAUGUUUAGAAGACUAUAGUUUCCAUUUUCUUGAUAUUAGCUUAUACUCUGUGGACCCUUAUACUGGCUCCUGGAAUUGAAAAAAAAUCUUAAACUUCUUCCAGUUUAUCUGCUGAGUUGAGUAUUGAACUAGUACUUAUUUAUUUUUUAAAAUAAACUAGUACUUUUUUUAAAAAAAUGAAAUGUUCAAUGCUUCCAUUUUUCACUUUUCCUUUGUUUGUUCUUUAUCAUUCAUGGUGUUUGUGACUGCAGUUGAUGGCUGUUAUUUAAUAUGUGGUCACUUUUUGCACUUUCUUUUUUUUAGUUAGCCUCUUGGAAAGUAAAUUGACUUCCACCUUAGUUAUUACUUCAGAAGGCCAUCAUAUGUUGCCCCAUCAGGUGACACAAGAAUAGUUUUCAGCAUUUUUUUUGAUACAGUAUGCCUAACCUUCUGUCUGGUUUUUCUUUUUUCAAAUUUUUAUUAAAUGAGUUUCUUUGCCUGUGAUAUUGGCAAUUCAAUACAUUCGACAAUGACAAUGAUUUCUAACAAGUGUACGUACAUUAAUUAGUUUACGACCAUAUAUGGUUGAUUUCUGGCCUUGAAAGAUGUAUAUUAUCCAGGGAAUCUGUUAAAACUUCUAAUUUGGUUGCUGGCACUUGCUUCUUAUGGCAUACAGUAAGCAUACUUGAUAAUCUAGGAGCAUUAUGUAACUUUUACCCUUAAACUUUCUCUCAUCUUUGAUAUGCAGUUUACAAUUCACAUUUAGUUACAAAUCCAUUUUAUAAACUGAGUUGCUUCUCACAAUUGGCCAUCGACCCAUUGUCGACCCUCGACCUUCUUCAUCUGGGUUUCGCAACAGAAUCAAAGGUGUUAUUCCACCUAAUGCUAACCAUGUGGAGCUUGUUUCGACCUUUUGAAACCUUUUCCUAAUGCCUUCUAAACCCCUCGAGGCAACUGAUUUCUUUUUAUUCAUAGAUAUGGUAUUGCAUGGGUGGGCAUUUCUUUUCCUCAAAGGAAACAAGUGAACAGUCAUCCCAUGUGUAGUUCACACUCCUCAGGAGAUUUUGUGCAAGUAGUUGACCUCCUCAAAGUCUCUCUAUACACAGGGGUAAGGCUGUAUACGUUUGACCCUCCCCAGGCUUUGCAGCUUUGUGCAAUGGGAUACCCUUUAGUAGACCUCCUCAAACCUCUAAAAAGGGGAUGGCCAUCACUUGUAGGCCCGCACAUGCUAUGAAAGCGUGAAGCUUCAAUCCUAGAUGUGACAUCUAGAUCCUUGGUUGUGUGCUGCUGCUAGAUAUCUUUCAUGUUGCUCUUCUUAUUCAUUUAUUAUUUUCUCUAUUCUACUCUCUAAUGUCUGUUUAACAGAUUGGAGCCUUUCAAUCUGCGAUAGUUUCAUUAAAAAUUACUCCUGUUUUCGAACCUCUUAGAUUGUCAUCCCUGCUUAACCUCAUAUUAUACAUGCUAAUCCUUCCUGGAAUUCUCUUAAGUGUAUACCAAAAUACUUGACUGCUGUAAAUAAUUCCAUCAAGGUUGUAGUUUAAACUUCCUUCACUAUAUCAUUAUUUAUUUCUCAUGAAUUUGAUAAUUCUUCUUUCUUAUCCAGAAAUUUAACUACUGUUUUUUCCUGUUCAAGGCUAAGAGACUGGAAAAAAGCAAGCGAAAUAGUUGAAAAUAUGGAGCCCUCCUCAUUCUCAUCACUUUCACUUGGGAUUUUAAAUCAGCUUCUUUGUUUUCUUGGAAGGAGUGGGAAGAUUGAGACCAUGAUGAAGGUAAUUAUUGCAUAUUAGUUGGAUCAUUUGUUAAAAACUUUCAAAUAGCUGUUAGUUUUCUUCAGAAACCAAAUAAUUAUGCAUAUGAUAUUCUUUCUGAGCACUUGGAUAUAUCAUCAAACUAUCAAAUGAACAGAGUUAAGAUAUAUCUAUGGGUAAUAUAAGUGAUACUGACAUAUUUUUGACUAAAUAUUUUUGUGCAUUCAUGGAUGUUAGUCAUAAAUUACUAACUGUUACUUACAAGCUUUGCCCCAUGUAGUUGGGUUGGCUAUAUUAUUCAUAAUGGUUCUAUUUAGAGUCUUUUAUCUGAUGGAUUGGUCAAAUUUUUUAUACUUAACCAUCACACUGGUGAUGUGCCUCUCUUUAUUCCCGCCAUUACUCAUUUUUUGUUAUCAAUGGAUGAUGUAUCUGGUGACAUGUCUGAUUAUUAUUAUUAUACCAAGGAUUGAUGAAUUUUGUGUGGAUAGCAUGGCACAUAUCAUGCUAUGCUGUGGGGGUUAUUCCAUGCCAGUUCUCGGCAUGCACUGUCACAGCUGCAAGCCAGGUACCGUCAUGCAGCCUAUAUCAUGCCAGUGCCAUGCUAAUGAGGCACUGGCACCAUACAUAUCCCUGCUGACAGUACUUUGAUCCAUGUUUAUACAAGAGACAUUACAUUGUGCACUAAGGUAUGUGACUAUGUGCUGUAUUUUUUUUUAUUCUUUCUACCUGAGAUGCUUCUCCUUGAAUAAGUUUAUUAAAAGCAAUCCAUUCAUUCUCAUCACAUUAAUGAUUGGUUUACAAAAUGCACACAUCAUAUCAGGAUAUUGUUUUCUUAUAAUUUGCAAAAUGGCAUUGUCACAGAUAUUCCAAUAUCGCUUUCUUAUAACUUGUGAAGUUUAUGGUAAUGAUGGUACUAUUAUAUGAUACCUGAGCACAAUCUGUAUAAGGUCAGGUGUCAGGUUGAAGCAGCUGCAGUAUUCUGCUGAAUAUCUCAUGGAGCCUUCUUGAAUUGUGCUCCAUAAACAAUGUCAAAUUGCUGGACAAAGAUUCGUUGAUGUUAAUUGCCAUUGUUCUCCGACAACUACUUAGUUGCACAUGAUUAAUACAUACUCAUUUUUUACGCUAAAUUACUGUUAAUUUCCAGGAUCAUUAUUCUAUGAGAUGUUGUGGAAGACUUGAAUCGCCUUGUUCUUACCUUGCAAAUCCUUUCUUGAGUACAUGAGUUCAUUUUUAUGGUUACAUAUGAUCUAUCAAAAGUUGAGAACUUUCUUUAUGGGCUUUCAAUAAACACCUGCCCUUUAUCAUGCUGAACUCUUGGUCAAGGGUUAAGGCGGAUUUUGCAAGGAGUGGCUUCCCAUGAAACUUAAAGAACAACCAAAGGGAAGAGAGACAUAUACUUCUUAUGGUUAACCUCCAUGGUCUGCUAGACUUCCAAGUGUUUAAAUGGAAUAGGAAGAAAAGGAAUGGUAUGAUUAGAAAACUGCAAGAGCACUUCGUAUAGUGACGUUGAAAUAUAACCCUAGUUUUUUUUUUAAUGAUUAAAUUCUUAGAAGAUUUAGUUAGUUCGAAUUGUUCAAGUGAUUCUCUGUAUUAAUUACAAGAAAGUUCAAUAAUUCACAAAAUUUUCAAAUUAUUCUUGAUACCACAAACAAUAAUAAGUGAUUAACAAGUUUUUGAUGAACUACUUGCAUAUUAUUUAUUAAUAAUUUUAUUUUCUGUAGAAGUGUCUAUUGUUUGUUGUUGACUCUCUCAUGCUUGCUUCACAUGCUCUAGUAUAUGAAUGAAGCGAUAUUGUGCAGCUUUCAAAUCCCUAUCAGUUAUCUGUUUUUGUCUCUGUUCUUAUUCUGAACUUUUUGGAAACUUGGUUCAGAAUUCCUGAAUGUUGAACUUGUUAUUCUAUCAAUCCCAAGUUUUGGUAAGGAAAAAAAACUAAGAUUACCAUUUUAACAGCUGGUCACAUAGAAAGCCCAAACUGUGAAAAGAUUUUUUUUAAAAUUAUAAUAAUAAAAAAGGUUCAUGCAAUAGAUACUAGCUAAAGCCGCUUUUUGGUCGUAUUCCAUGGUUGCUCCAUGCGUUAUCUAUUAUAUAAGAAGAUAUGUGUAAAAGGUGUUAUAUGUAAAUGUUCAUGAAAAAAAACAGAAGGUUUUCCUAUUUUUGGGAACAUGGGGCAGUGUAGAAUGCCCUCAAGAUUUUAUUAAAGACCAAGUAGAGAUGCAACAGUAGAAUACAGAUUAAUGCUAUCUAUUGAACUAUUCCACUUUUGAAGUCCUUCCUGAUCAAUGAAGCAAAUGAAUAUUUUCAGGAAAAAGGAAAAGGUUUUCUCCACAUAAGAUAUAACUCGUUUUUUAAUAGAUGAAGCACAUUAUACAUAUUUGCAGAUCAAGACCUCCAUUAGCCCAGAAAUUUAUCAUACAAAUCAAAUUAAUUUUGUAUUCCCCUAAUGAAAUAUCUAUUUAGUUUCUUCCGGUUCCUCCUCUGAUUCAGCCCUUGGAGCUUCUAGCUAGUGAUGAGUACUUUAAUCUCUAAAUGCAAGACAGAGUCAAGAUCAUAAUUCUUUCCAUGAUGGCUAGCUAAGAACUCAAAAUUUAAUGAUGAUGGUGUUGGGAAGUAGGAGUGGCUCACUGGCUAAAUGCUCCAAAAGGUUGAGUGAGGAGAGAAAUGGGAAAAUUUGCAGUAAAUAUUUCCAUUAUGGCUGAUGAAAAGUUAACUUGGGGCCUAUUUGGAAAUUGCUGGGAUGAAAGAAGCUUAUCUGAAAAUAUAUAAAAGAGAGGUCUUUAUUUGCAAGGAAGGAGUUAUAUUCAGAAAACUUUUCUUUACCUUUUAAUCUGUUUAAUAUAUGAAGUCAAUCAGCAAGUGUAUCACAUUAUCUCCAUAUAUAUAUAUAUAAUUUCCCAGAAGUUUAGAGUGAGGAGAUCCUUUCAAAUGUGGAAUUACGAACUAACUGCACUUUGUGAGAUUGAGUUUUCCCAGCUGUCCAAUCAGCCAUCAAUUUCAGACUAUUUUUGAUGAGUAAUCUCUGCAUUCUAACAAUUCAGUGACAACUACUAAACUCUAGUAGAUGGAUUGAUUCGGUGAUUUCGUUUCUGUGAGUUCAUAAAUUAAUAGACUCUGUUGAAAAGUUUAAUUAAACCUGAAGUAAUUAUGCUUUAAUAUAUUAUGAUAUGUCUGUGAUAAUUGUGUCCAUUACUUAUUGCACCUGGUGUUAAUUAUGAAAUGAUUGCAGGACUUCUCCAAUAAAUUGCUUUUCUACCUUUCAUGUAUGCAGCUUUUUUAUGAGAUAGUGGCCUCAGGUUCAAAUGUCAGCUCUGCAACAUACUCGAUUCUUUUGAAGAAUCUUUUGGCUGCUGGGAAAUGGCGGAAAUAUAUUGAGGUGCAUAAACUUGUUAUAAAUUAGGGGUAUUACACUUGGUAAAUUGCACAUGUUGUUUGCUCUUUAGUUUAGUCAGACCUUUUUAAUUAAUGAUAUAGUGGUACUAAGGUUCGUCGAACCGGUACCGAGACCCAUACUGGUCGGAGAGCGGUUCGGUUUUGUACCGGUUCGAACCGAGCUAAAUCGGGAGUGCUGAUUCACGGACCGACACUCCCUAAUUUAUAUUUUUUUUGUAGUUCUCUCUCUUUUCGAACUUUUUCUAUAAAUUUAAGCCUAAUUUGAUGUUUUUUGUUGUCUUUUUGAUGUUUUUUUGAUAUUUCUAUAUUUCGGUAUAAGCUAGAUGCAUCUUAUUGCUUCAAAAUGAUACAAUCAUAAAAUGGACAGCAUAAAAUAUUCUUAAAUCAAGAUACAAAUCAUUGCCAUAGCCCCACAGCGGGACUCAGAUUCGGUGAGAACUGACGAACCGGACGGAACUGUUUUCCAUUGCAGAACCGACCGGGUCGGAGACCGACCAGAUCGGCUCGGACUGAAUCAGCCAGUUCGGCUCGAUUCGGACUGAAUCAGCCGGUUUGGCGAUCGUUGAGUGGUACUGGUGUCAAUUCACUCACAAUCACAUAUGGUUGUGUGAAUAAAAGAAAGCACAGGAUAAAAUUCAUGUACUUUUUUACAGAUCGAUCAAUCUCCUCUUUAGGCCCUCCAUUACAUCUCUCCUGUCAUACUUAUUUGUCUUCUAUUAUAGCUUGCAUCCCUUGAAACAAAAACCAAAAGACACUGCACUAAAUAUUGCCUGCAAUGACAAUGGUAUCCCUUCAGUUCUGUUAUCUAUCACAUCAUUUACUGCAAGGACCAUGCUACUAUAAAUAACGAUAGGCCAUAGGCAGCUUUGUCAAGUGAAGCCUUGAAAUAUCUUAAACCUUAUUUUUUUUCUAUCUUGAAAAAUUAGAGAACUCACUUUAUAAAAAGAAGCUGGAAUUUCUGGUUCUCCACCUUUCCCUGCAUGAUAAGAAUUGUAUAUUGAGAAGACAAUUUUUAUUGCCCAGCAUUUAAAUGUUAAAAUUAUCUUCAGUUGCUGCAUUCCUUGAGAAUCUGGUUUCAGUAAGUCCUGCUGAGUGGUGAUAGCCUUUGAUGUAGCGGUAACUUAGAUCAAGCAUUCCAUCUUUUACAGCAGCUUCAGAAUUAUUUCCAUCACCAUCAUCAUAGUAGUAGCGGUAGUAGUUAUUAUUGUUCAAAUUGCUAGUAUUAGGCAUUGCUUACAAAAUAUUGAUGUAAGUUUUGCAUGCACAGGUGUUGCAAUGGAUGGAGGAUGCAGGAAUUCAACCAUCGCUCUAUAUGUACAACAAUGUUCUCCCAUAUGCAUGGAAGGACAACAGCAUGGAGCAUGUUGUUCUGAUCCAAGAAAGAAUAAGUAAGAUAACAUAUACAUACAUACACAAUACGCACACACAUAUGCAUAUAUCCAGUGCUUUGGUUAGUCCCAUCUGUUUGCUCAUCAAAAAAAUGAAAAACAAAUCUGUUUUGUGAGUAAUUUGCUGACUAACCAUCUGUCAUAAACUUUUUUAUGGCUCCGUGUUUUAUUGGAGGUGCAUUUACAUGUAAUUUGUAAACCAUUGUUUUGUCUAUAAAAAUGAAAAAUGACGUGGAAGGUCUACUCUAGAAAUGUGAGGUAGUAGGUGAAAAUUUAAAAAUGCAGCUCUUUGCAUGUAUGAGGUAAGGUUGAGGGUAAGCCUUAGUGGAAUGGUGAGCUUGCUCCAUUGUGACUUGGAGGUCAUAUGUUUGAAAUACGGAAACAACCUCUCCGUAUGCGGGGAUAAGGCUGUGUACAUUUGACCCUCCUCUGAUCCCGCAACGGUAGGAGCCUCGUGCACCGGACUGCCCCAUUUUUACAUGUAUUAGGUAUUUGAAAGUUGUCCAUAAUAUAAUUCAGAUGCUUCUGCAUCUCAUUUGAUAUCUUUAGAAGUCAUCUUAUCAAUCAUCCUCAGCAGAUUAAUGGUCUUGUUGUUGUACUUCACGGCAUUCAAGUGUACCAUUUACGAUAAGGUCUUUUCAUUAUUUGCAUAUGAUAAUGUAAAAUUUCCCCCAUCUUUCAAGCUUUCUGUAAUGAAAUGCUUUCUUCUUGCUUGACACCUCAAGCUCACAAGGAUAGCUUUAACAUAAUUCCUAAGCUUUAGAAAUAUGUCAGCUUAUUUAAUUUCUGUAAUGUGUUUUGGUUGAGGUGGCUAGGAGGCCCUUGGCAAUGAAGACCACUAAUGCCUAGGCAGUUGUCUAGUGUCUGAGGUGUUGAACAAGAAAAAAUUGAAGGCUGGAGAGAGAGAGAUGAGGGAGAAGAAAAAUUGCAAGGUAACAAAGAAGAACAGAACGAUAAAAAGGGAGUAAGGACACAGGUUAAAGGAUUAUUAAGACAAGUUAGAGGAAUAAAAGGAAAAGUAGAGGAAAAACGGAAAGGGGCAGAAGUGGGAAUGCAACUAAUAAAAGAAGCUUGAUUAUUAAGGUGUGACAAUGUGGAAGCUAAGAGGAAUUUGAAGUGAAAUGAAAGAGAAUGAAAGUAAGAAAACAAAAGGAAAAAUAGGAAAUGGAGAGAGAGAGAGAGAGCAUUGCUAGAUCCUAGGGCUGGGUUCUGUUACAGACCUCCACUUUCAAGGUGGUAUGUGGAAUGGGUUCAAAUAAGUGAAGUCGUAGGUUGCAAAAAUUAAGUUGCUAUGGCAAGCAAUCUUUAGAAUAUGAAGUUAUGAACAAUCACUGUGAAAGAAUCUUGUUACCUCGAUUCUAAAAUAGCAAGAGUUGCCUAUACACACUUAACAAUUUUUUUUUAAAAAAAUUCUCUCUCCCUCCCUCCUUUCUCUCAUAAUAUGUGCGCGCUGUGUGUGUGUGAGAGAGAUCCAGUUAUCCUGUCCAGAAAUGGAGGCAGAAUCAAUGCAAUGUCAGGUUUAUGAUGAAAGGAGUGUUUAGAGACAGCUCAAUAAAUGUCUUUCUUUUCUUUUCAAGAGGUGGAAUAAAACAAUCUAGUUGACUCAUAGUGAUCAUUCACCUGUAAUGCACUGUAUGUCCCAUAAUUGGUUCCAUUCUUCGGCACUUUCCUGGGAGUUGACUAUUCAUUGCACUUUCCUGGGAGUCGACUAUUCAUGGCUAUUUCUUGGGAGUCGACUAUUUGGCACUGUAUGCACUUUCCUGAUUCAGCAUUGGAGAUAUAUGGAUUGUUCGCUGAAUUUGUUGUUCCACAGAAGUCUUCUGUUGUAUGCUACUUUCUUCCUCCUUUUUUUCCCUACUGGAAAAACAAAAAACUUGAAGUCCUUGUAAAGAAGUCUUCUUCUUUCCUAACCCCCCAAAAGGGCUUGAAUUCUCUUCAUGUAAGACAAUAUCUAUGAUGCAAAUAACAAUUUUGGGCUGGCAUAUUCUGCUAACCGCUGUGUCUGUUAUGAUUUGAUCGUUAUAUUUAAGUAUAUCUUGUGCGUAACAGAUCUUGACUGAUUUUUUUAUUGCUUAGGGAACUGCUAUUAAGUUCUUUUUUCAUCUAUUUAAAAUUUUCUUGUUGUAGGCUCUUUGAGAGAAAAAGUUCUUUGAGCAUUGAAGGUUAAGUAUGCUAGAGAUUUCACAAUGAUGAGCUAGCCAGUGGAUGGGGCUGCUUGAGGCGACUGUAUCUCAGGUUCAUAGGAACAACUACCUAAAGAAAUGCAGUACAUUUAGCAUGCGGAAAGCACAAAUGAGUUAACUGGUGUGUGGGCUUGUUUGGCAAGGAAAUUCAAGAGCUUAAGGUCAUAUUCUGCCAGCACCUCAGCUAAACAGGUAAUUCAAGAAUUUGAAGGCAUGACAACCCAAGUGGUUUGUGCGAAUCACGGUGAAGAUUACACAUGGUGCUAAUGUAUAUUUCUGUUCUGUAUGGUUGGACUGUAGAAUGGGCAUCAUUUUAAUUAUUGAUUUCAUCUUGAUGCAGAGAUUUGAGGAGUUACAGAUCCUCUUCAUCCUUUUCAAGCUUGUCGACUGUUGCUAGAAAAUUUGUGUGUCCAGGUAUCAUCACCAGCCUUUCACAAGAAAGGCUGUUAAUUAAUACAGUUGCAGUAUCGUUUAUGAAAUUAUGCUGCUUUUUCUCUUGGCUAGGUUUUCUGUUGUGGCAUUAACAGGGAAGUGGGGCCAAAUGCUCCAUCAUCUGUAGAGCCCUGUUGUUUCCAUGUUUAUUUCUUUUGCUUUUAACAGGCUCUUAUUAUGAAAUUAGCAGAUGAAGUGGGGCUGAAUACUCUGUAUCAUCUGCAAAGCUGGAAAUUAACUAGUUUAGAUAGGUUGUUUCACUGGAGAAAGUUAAGAAAAGGUUGUAGAACAGUUAAGAGACCAGCAAUCUCUUUGUUCUCAACCAUGUUGUAAUGAAGUCUGGAAUGAAGAUGAGUGAGAAUGUUAACUAUGCUAUCUAAUUUGAAGUCUGGAAUAAGAUCGGCUCUCUAGCAUAUUGCAUAAGCUUCCACUUUUUGCAUUAUGGCAAAUCUACUUCCCCGGUUUUGGGUCUCCCUCCCACUGCUUUUCCCAAGUAUUAUGCAGGUCGCAAUUCACAAUUGUACAAAGGUUCAAACUAUAAGCGAGAAGAUAAAACCAGUUAGCUAUAGAAGAGAUCAGGUAUUGGAUCUUUUAGGGGAAUUGGCACCUCACUGAAAUGCUGCAUCGAGCUAACAACAAAGGAAACAGGUCCUCUCCUGAAUGAUGCGGUCUCAAUCAUCCGGUUGGCUUAAAAACUCAAUCGGCAAAUUAUGAGGACUGGACCAUGUCACCGUGGACCUCUCAUGUCAUGGCCCUCCUCUGCUGUACUAGUAUUUUAUGCAGCAUGGAGUGCAGAACAAUCUUCCCACCAAGUCUUGAGGGGAUGGUAAUGGGUUGGGUGGGUUCAUGUCGUCAGAGAUGACAAUAAUAUACAAAAAAUCUUGACCACACAUAUUGAUGGUCUGAAAUGAUCCGUUUAACUAAAACAUAAUUUAUUUUACAUCCUUAAUGGACCCAACCUAACAUGACAAACCUGUUUGUUACUCAUUCUUGCCUGUUUAUUUUUAAGGGUAUGUUUGGUUUCAAAGAGAUGGGAAAGGUAAAAAUAAGGGAUUUCUAUAGAAAUGGAAAAGUUUUCUAGAAAAAAUAGUUUUAAACUUUUCGAAUUUAGAGGUAGAAGAUCUUUUUNNNNNNNNNNNNNNNNNNNNNNNNNNNNNNNNNNNNNNNNNNNNNNNNNNNNNNNNNNNNNNNNNNNNNNNNNNNNNNNNNNNNNNNNNNNNNNNNNNNNNNNNNNNNNNNNNNNNNNNNNNNNNNNNNNNNNNNNNNNNNNNNNNNNNNNNNNNNNNNNNNNNNNNNNNNNNNNNNNNNNNNNNNNNNNNNNNNNNNNNNNNNNNNNNNNNNNNNNNNNNNNNNNNNNNNNNNNNNNNNNNNNNNNNNNNNNNNNNNNNNNNNNNNNNNNNNNNNNNNNNNNNNNNNNNNNNNNNNNNNNNNNNNNNNNNNNNNNNNNNNNNNNNNNNNNNNNNNNNNNNNNNNNNNNNNNNNNNNNNNNNNNNNNNNNNNNNNNNNNNNNNNNNNNNNNNNNNNNNNNNNNNNNNNNNNNNNNNNNNNNNNNNNNNNNNNNNNNNNNNNNNNNNNNNNNNNNNNNNNNNNNNNNNNNNNNNNNNNNNNNNNNNNNNNNNNNNNNNNNNNNNNNNNNNNNNNNNNNNNNNNNNNNNNNNNNNNNNNNNNNNNNNNNNNNNNNNNNNNNNNNNNNNNNNNNNNNNNNNNNNNNNNNNNNNNNNNNNNNNNNNNNNNNNNNNNNNNNNNNNNNNNNNNNNNNNNNNNNNNNNNNNNNNNNNNNNNNNNNNNNNNNNNNNNNNNNNNNNNNNNNNNNNNNNNNNNNNNNNNNNNNNNNNNNNNNNNNNNNNNNNNNNGUUUCAGCUACCAAGGGAUAUCAUAUUUGGAACAAUCCAACUCAUCCACCAAUACUCCUUGAGGGUGUUUUUAGCUAGAUUCUUUGUUAGGAUUGAAGCCUCAAUCCCAUCAGUGCAAAAUAUAUGUCUGUCCACUCAUGAAAAUCUGAAAUAUUAAUGAUGAUAUGCAAUACUUAGAAUGCCGCAUCAUAGAAUUGGAUCCUCAUUAUUGCCAGUGCAAAAUAAGCAUUAGGCCACAUAAUUCAUGAAAUCGACUAUGUCAGCGGUAUGGUGCCAAUGUUUUAAAAAGAUUGUUGCAAUAUGUGGGUAGUGAAGAGACUAAUGGCGCAUACACAUCGUAUGGGUUGCAUAUGUGGUAGUAUUUUGAAUAUUUUAAAUAAAUAAGAUAUAUUAAAUACAAUGAUAGCAACCUUUUUGUAAAUAAAACCAAUAAGUUAGUACAUAUUUGUUAGUACUUAAUGCAAUAAUUAUGGCAUAACUAAUAUAUUGAUAUCUUUAAGAUGCAAUAGCUGCCUUGCUUAAAACCAAUAUCUAACCUAACUAUUGCUUGAACUUGCCUCAUAUGCAUGGGUCUUCCUAAUGGUGGGCUAUAUAUGUGGUCUCACAAUGCUGAAGGAGCUAUAUAUGGAAAUCGAAAAAUGAUUAAUAGGCUACAAGUGAAAUUGCACUAUGCUAAUCUAGCCUUAGAUGUAUUUGCAUAGUGCUAAGUGAACCAUGCUUUUGGCUAAUAUGCAGCCUGACCAGAUAAAGUGAAGGCUUGUGGUCUAGCCUUCUAGGGACUGCAUAUGCAUAUCCAGUCUCAUACAUCACAUUUCAAACACGUACAAUAAUGACUAGAUUAAUGAUCUAAAUUUGUUGAAACCCAUUGAAUUUUGGUUCCUACACAUUUAAAGAUCUGUUGAUUAAGAUCGAUAGUGUGAAAUCUUUUAGCUUUAUACUCUACCACAUAUUUAAAUUUUAAUAAAUGCUUUUCUUGCUAUUUUCAUCUGAUGCAUAGUUGAAAGACCUUUAAAAGAUGUAAAUUUAUUUUUCUAAGCAUUUUAAAUGUUGUGAUUUAUAAUCAAUGGCAUGGAUUUGCUAUUUUAAUGGCCAUCAUUUAUUUUGUGUGGGUAGGAUUUAGUCUCCUUUGUUACCGUCCUAGCUUAGCUGUGUACACAGACACACACAGUGAGAGAAAUCCAUUUAUCCUUUGUGCCUCCAUAUGUAGAAAGAAGUUAAAUCAUUAUUACUUUAAAACCUUUAUCCAGACUGCCUUGAAUGGGUUAAAUUUUUUAGACAGUUUUUGUCAAAUAAUAUCCUCCAAAGAUAAUGAUUAAUUUCUCUUUUAAUAUAGUGUAUUCUAAAAUUUUAAAGUGUGAAUUUAAGUUUUGAUAGUGUUAUCUGUAUAUCUUGUUAACUAUGACCUUCAUAUUAAAACUUGGCUAUUGAACUACUUGGCUUAAAUCAUAAACUGAGUGCAAACAAGUUAUUUCUAUCGUAAAAAAAAUCAAGAAUUUCAUACUUUUAAACAUUUUACCUUUGGUCUAUGUACCAUGAACGAGCAUAUCAAGCAAGUUUUAAAUACCGUGGUUUUCCUUAAACAACAUGUCUCCAUGAGAUAGAAGAUGUCCUGUUGCAGUUCACUUCUCCACUUAUCUCAUCACAACAUUUGGGAUGGUUCAUCAUCUCAACACUCAAGAUAGUUUAUCUUAAUUAUGCGUGUAGCCAACUUUGAAAUGUUGAGUCGACCCCGAAAUGAGAUCAAGCUAUAGUAAAAUGGUAUACUAACCUUGAGUGACUAUGGCUGCCUAAACUCUCUCCUGAAAUUUGGAUUGGCUUGUUAACUUAUCCAUUCCUUUGGACAAAGAGUACCUGGUUUGGCCAAAAGACCUCUGCAUGUCAUCAUGCAUCUUAGGAGUAGCAUAAAAAGAGGAAUUAACAUUAUUGACCCUAUGAGAGACCACUAACACCUUGCAAACUGGGGCUUCACGCUUGGGAAAAGACUUCCAUGAUUGGAAACCAGCCGCUAGUUACCUGCAUGCUGGAAAGGAACCAAGACAAGAAGAUGAGGCAUCGAGACCUAAAGGCAAAUCAUAUUAAAUCAUAGCACAAUGUGCACAACAUGUCAAAUUAUAUCUAGACCAUGCUAAUCCGUAUAUUUUGAACCAUGUUGCAAUAGCUUGUGGGAUUUUGGCGGCCCAAAGUCACAGGGCGUGCGCUGUAGCCUUUUUGACUUUUGCGGCCCACCAUGGCCUUUUUGGCUGAGAGCAAUAUUUAGCGCCUUCCCAUAACUGAUUAGCCGCAGCCACAGAAAAGCCCGUCACCUUACUUUUUUUUUUUUUCUUUUUUUUUUCUUUGUUACCUACUUUUUUUUUUCUUGUUCGAGACAUCCUUUCAGCGAGAUGAUCGAGAGAAGCUCACACGAGGACACGACGGUACCCGGUCAACUCAGUCAGGAGGGUGACAUAGUCAGACAGAGAGGGACACGAAGGCUAAGAAGGCAGCUGCCCAGUGAACCAAAAAAGAAAAACAAAAAAGCCCCAAUGGAGAGUGUCGAGAAGGAGUCUCGGAGCAGCAACAAUGACGGUUUUGGUGGAUCUGCUAGCCACGGAGAAGUGGAUGACAAGAGAGCAUUAUUUAUGACACACAGCUGGAGGCUGGUCUUCGGUACAUCGAUAAGUUCCAGUUUAUACAUGCUACACAGAAUAGGAACUACGGUAAAUGAUCUGGUAGAGCCUGCGAGGAUAUGAUUGCAUAUAGGAGACAUGCUCCUUGAGGUCAUUUAGGAAGACACGAUGCAGUUACAUAAGACCUUGCACGUAGAAUAGGAUCCAUAAACGUAUCAAGUUCCGAGUCAUAUACUAGAUCAUAUUAUCCACAAUCAUAAGACUCAUAUAGAUACGAAUAUGGUGCAUCUCAUGCAUCUUCCGAUGGCUACUAUCCUACAAAGUCCGGAGCAUCUCACGGGUCGGAUUUUGCUACCGAGAUAUUUGGGUGAGCCCCUUUACAGCUAUAUUAUCAGCCAGAGAACACUUUUCCAGAGCUAGAGCUUUAGCGAGAAAUCCGAGAGUUCUCGUAACCCAGCGCGCGUUCCUCAAGGAAUGAGCAUACAAGACUACAACGCUGCUUGAUUAGAGGGGUGGGUUAAUCUGCCUAUUUAUUAUGCUGAUGAUUCGGAUAUCUACUAGAAGCAUCGCCACUCGACCCAAGAGUGCUUUAAAAGUAUGUAAUUGAUUGCAUCUUCAGUUGAAAAUAUUUUAUAUUAUUUAUUUCAUGAUUUGUAUCAUUUCAAAGAAAUAAGAUGCAGCAACUAGCUUAAAUCGGAAUCAUAGAAAUAUAAAAAAAAAUCCAAAAGAUAUCAAGAAAACAUCAAAAAAAAAUCAAAUUAUACUUAAAUUUGUAGAAAAAGUUUGAAGAGAGAGAAAACUCUCAAAAAAUUACAAAAAAGUUUGAAAAUAAUUGCCGAACCGAACAAACCGGUUCGGUACUGGUACCGAACUGGUUCCGGCGCCGAUCGGUAUCAGUACCGGUUCGGCGAUCCUUAAGGAGAAGCCUUUGUUAUUUUAUUAUUUUUUUUAAAGAAAGAAAUAUGCUAAGAAAGAUGAUCCCAAAACUUUGAAGUAAGACUUAAUGGUUAUGGCCAUGGUUAUUGAAACAUGUUAACAGAAAAGCAAUACUUCAUUAUUCAGGCCAUGAUGCAGUAGAUUUACCCCAAACAGAUAGUCGCUAGAAUAAUUUAACCAGAUGUCUGUUGUCCAUCUGAAUGUGUUACAUAUACUGUAUCACUUUCACAGGGCUGAAAAAGGCCUUGUGAAUCAGACCAAAAUACAUACAUAUGCACCUAAAUCUUAACAAAUUGAACAAACUCGAGCAAAGGUAAGCAACCAUACAUACCUCUUGGUACAAAUAAAAGAAUUGCCUAAAACUCUGCAAAAUCAACCCAAGUAAUAAGUGGCGGCCAUGAACAUACAGCAAGCUGCUUUAACGGAGUUUACUGACCCAAUCUCAAUCCAAACAUAACAGCAUGACAAAAUAGAAACUUUGAGAGCUGGAAACAGCAGCAUGUCCAUAGAUACAUUCUCAAAAGAGAUCCACCUUCUUUUUGUGCAUGUCUUGCUUCCACUUGGGCUGCUGGUAGAAUGCUUCUCUUGUCAUCCCAAAAACAGUCUGGAACUCAUCAUCAGACAGAUAAGACUACACAAAAAAAAGGAGAGGAUCAACAGAUGAGCAUAAAUGGAGCACAUUCUCUUGAGAAAUUGUUAGCAAAAUCUAGGAUAAUAAGCUUCUAGAUUUUAGAGAAACUUUAGAGCAUGAACCUCUCUUCGUUUGUAAUCAAUUCCUCUAACAGGGUUUCUGGACUUGGAUUUUAGUCGUUCAUAACUGAAUAUACGUUCACCUCCGUCAUCUACUGGUGAAUCCUCUUUCAACUCAGAAUCAACUCCAUUAUCCUCUGAUUCUCUUUCCUCCAUGCCUUCUGCUGAAAUUUCUAGGGGAUCCCCCAUCUCAGAGCUCGCACCAUCAGUAUUCUCGCUAUCUGCAAUCAAUUGAAGGUAAAAUUUUAUUAUCCACUAAAUAAUUUUACUAUGGUAAAGAUAAGAUCCAUUUGUAAUUCGCAUGUACAAGGUGUGAUAUCAUUAGCAUAAAAAUGAUAUAUUUCUGCUAUACUCUCAUGGGAUCCAACCAACAUCACCAUGACCUGCAAACGUUAGGUCUAAAAUUCUCAUGGAGGUUCAUGUGAUAUUAAUGCAAUUGGUGCAUUCUUUUGUGCUUUAAAGAGAAUUGGUAGAAUGUGAUGACUAUAAUGAGUUCAUUUUAAAAAAGAUUUUUUUAUAAAGAACUCUACAACUCUAGUUCACCAAUCAACUGAUCAUACAUGAAAUAUAUCAUAUUUCCAAACCAACACAUACCAACAGGAGUGAAUGUAAAUUCAGAUUUGCCCUGGACCCUACCAAAAAUAGACUAUUACCCAGUCAAAUAUAUAAAACCAUGGGGGAAUCUUGAACCUCAAAAUUGAAAAGCAAUCAAACAGAACAAAGCCAACACAGUCAAAAAAGGCCUUUGCAGUCAGUAACAUUCUCCCUAAGGAGUCCCAUCCACCCUAUAACAUUUGCUUCACACUACAAUUGGUAAUACUAACCAGAGCUCAAUCAUAAUUGUAUUUCCAGUUGAUUCAUCCAGAAUAUUAAUAUUCUCAAAUGCAGCAAAAGAAAAAUAAGAAAGGAGAUAAAUCUUUUUCAUCUAUAAUCAAUAAUACCGUUAAUACUGACCGUUCUAAGCACUUAUAUGUCCUAGAUAUUCAGAAAGCUUCAUUUCCUUGCUUGAUAACCAGUACUUUCAGGUUUACACAACUAAGAUACAGACCAUGAAAUUAGACCUAAUAAUAUCAUGAAGCCACUUUGAGUGCACCCAAUUUUAAUUAUUCAGAAAGUCUUAAAUUAAAACCUACACCAGCUCUGACUUGCAGCAUCCAAUUCCAGACCUUAGACCCAAGGUCAAUUUAGGUCUGGUCCAGGUCAUGGUUGAUUAAGAUCAAAACAUUCAUUCAAGGUCCUUCACACAAGGAACCCACAGUUCUGAGAUCAUACAUUAUGUAAAUAAAUAAAUUAAAAUAUGCUUGUCUUUCACUGUAUCCAAGAGUAGGCCGCACUAUGGAGAAAGCAGUGCAGUCACUAUGAUUAUAGACAAAACUUUGCUCCAACUAUUUUUUGGGGGUGUUUUGCCAGGUAACCUGCAUAUGUUAACCCAUACACAAGUGUAAAAUGUAAUUGGGUCCUUUGAUUCAACUGGGGGAAGAAGCACUGCUUCCAUGGAUAUCAUAAUUGGGCAUCCAAACAUCCCUCCAUCUUAAAGGAAAACAACUUGAUAUGUAAACUUGUUUUACUAACUCAAAGAGCAACAAAUCAAGUUAUAGAAAACAAAAACAAAAAUAAAGACACUCUACCAGCAACAGGAUGUUCUGGUGAAGGGCUUCUGCUCCUGAAUUGAUUAGCAGUGCCUUCAGAUUGUGCCACCUUCUGUUCAGCAGUUAGAACAGUUGAUAGUGCGGCAACGGCAGCUGCUCUCUGUGAUCCCUGUCUUGGAUGAGAUGAUGGCUUUGGAGCUGCAACUUUGGGCACAGAAGAAGGAUUGAAGGCGGAAGAUAAGGCUGCUAAUGCAGAUGCCCUUUGUGUAGGUCCACCAUGAUUUGGAGUAUUGGAUCUUGCACUUGACUGCUGGAGCACAGAAGAAGGAUUGAAGGCGGAAGAUAAGGCUGCUAAUGCAGAUGCCCUUUGUGUAGCUCCACCAUGAUUUGGAGUAUUGGAUCUCGCACUUGACUGCAGGAUAUCAUUAACAGUAAAUUAUGAUAAUUUAAUAAAGAUAACAUCUAGUAAUAUCUACUCACAAGGUCUCAGUAUAUUCCCACUAAUAUUUGUUGGGUGACAAGGGGCGUAAACAUCCUAAAUGAGCACGAAAAUUUUGUGAAAACAUAUUUAAGAAAGAAAAUGACAAGUGCAUCAGCUAGAUAUGGAAACAAUUGAAUAAUCAAUCGCAAAGAGCUUAUCUAAUGGCCAACUACAAACUCUUACCAUUUUGCACUUUGCUAUGAAUGCACUAUGUAUCAUGUUAUGCAGUUCCCAACGAGCAUCUUAAUGGUAAAUUAUUGACUGUUAGUUAGGCUGCAUGUAGAGGUUUUGUUGAUGUUAUACUUUACCUAAAUUUGAGAAAUUCAGAGUUUUGAAAAUUGAGAUUUUUCAGAAGAUGUUUAUGGAAUUCCAUUUCAACUAAAUGCCCAGUAUAAUCAGAUCAUAACUGGUUAGUUUGAAAGAUACAUAAAAUCAUGAAAUAUCAUGAUUUUUGUAAAACAUGCAGACAUACCUUUACACGACUCAGAAAAGCAUGUACUUCAGCUCAAACUUUCGAAUGAAAAUGUUAGAUAUAGAAGUUUACAGUAAAAUAUAGGUAAGUAUAUGAACGUCAGCUUCACGGAAAACAUAUAUGGAGAUGAAGGCUGUAGUUACAUCAUAAUCUGAAGAUUCUCCAAAAAUAUCAUUCCUUACUUUUGAUCGAUCACAUAAGAAUAAACAGAACAUUUAUGCUGUCUUCAAUAGGUCCAAAUGAAGAUCAAAUAGACAUGUUUUUUUAGAAAUGUACUUGUCAAGCACCAUUAAAGCAGACCAAAGCUUUAAUGAGCAAUUACAGGAUUAUUGCAAAAAUAGAAAUGUUGAGGAAAGGGCAUGAAAUAACAAGUUGAAUAUAGUAAACAUGAGGACAUUUCGCUGAUCUAUGGUAAAACCGAAGAAAAAUAUAUUAGACAAAGCUGACAUAUCUAAAUAAGGAUAAAAAUGAUAAAUUUUUUUGAAAUGACUCAUGCUGGAUACAGGCUAGAUAUGAUUACAGGGACCAGCAUGGGCAAAAAAAAAUUAAAGAAAAUUGUUUGAGAUGCAUACGGUAGGAAAAUGAAACUGGUGCAUAAACGAUUUGGAUCUCAAUAACAUGAAACUUCUACUUAAGGUGCCACACUGAAUUCUAAAACUGAAUAGAAUCUUCCUCCCAUACUUUCUUAGCCCUUAUAUUUUUUUUGAGAGAUUCAUUACCCAACACCCGCACUCAUAACACUUUAGUCAGCUAAUUAGGACUUACGGGAGUUAAUAAUAGACUGACAAAUUAAGAUUUCAGUACAAGCAUAGAGAUUUGAGAAAGGGAUUUGAAGUCGUCUUCCAUCAUAAGUCUGCUUUGCGAGAACAAUGAAGUGGGUUCAUAAAGCCAACCCCAAUCAGAUUGGAAAAUUCUUGUUAAAGUCUUUUCGCCCGCCCAGUAAAUAAAGGCACUUGCAUUAGUCUUCAAAUCAAUAGACUAUCUAGAUUCACUUUCCGCUGAUCUUUAUGUAGAGGAAGGGCUUACUUAUCGAGCCUCCUACCACUGCUUUGAUCGCUGACGGGACAGAAUCUGCGAUUCGACUUGAUGAAUACUACUUGGCAAAAUUCUUUUCUUUCUACCUAUAGUAGACCCAUGGAUUCAUCAGGCAACAUGCGGAUAGAAGACUGUUUAGCAGAUCCAAACUUUCAGAAGGAAACAGACGCAGGUUCUACAAAAUGUACAAUUUUCACCUUUUUAAAAUUUAAAGAAAUGUUCAAUAUUAUAGGGUCCACUUAGACUAAAGUUAAAUUUCUUAGUAAGGUCUGCAAAAUCGGUAUUGAGAACCAUAGCAGCAUAUUACUGAUUCGGCACAGUACAGAUGGCAAGAUAAGCACCUCGUACCGACCCAGGCUCCCAACAUUUGUUUCUCACCCCAAGCCAUGGUAUAGCUCAAAACUGGGUGCCAUGGUCAGUAUCAGGCAGUUCCAUUUGAUUCAGACUUGUAUGGACUGGUUCAGCUCAUAUAUCGAACCAAACAUAGGAACUGUUCUGGUUCUGAACCAUUACAAUACGGUAUGUCCCGGUAUAGGUGGUUCAGGAUGGUUUGGCAAACCAUACUUCUUAUUUCUUGUUUAUGUAGAUUCAAAAUUAACUUGUGCUCCUACCAAGUGUCAAUUGUCUCAAGGAAUACAAGGUAGGCUCCACAGUUAAGUGAUAUAAAUAUUGUGGUCUCAAAUACUGGUUAAUAACGCUAGCCAUAACUUAAGGUAUAGGUGUUUUAUAUCACACACAUGAGCUCAAAAACUGCUAUGUCACAUAUAGUACAUGUUCUGUAUUGGGCAUGUAUCAUCACAUAGAUAAAGGCACUAUAAGUUGUUAUUUAUAGGUGCCACAACUAAACAAGCCCUGUUCUUCUCGCUCUGCCACUCUCAAGUGACACCCUACCUAUCCUUUGCCUUCUACCAAGGUUCCCCCAUUUAGGGUAAAGGUAGACAGCAACAAGCAGUUUGUAACCUCCUCACUUGUAAUAUCUAGCAGAGGAUGGAAUGGCAGUGAAUUGCAGGCAGAGAAGAGGAAAAAUUUUCCACAUACACCAAUCCUAAGCAUUCUUUUUUAGUACUAUUUCUAUGCAUCAUUUUUUUUUAAUUUUUCAAUAAGGCAUAUGAUCUUUGGGUCUUAAAAUUUAUUAAAGGGUUUUGUAUCAGGGACUAGAGCUUUGGGUCAGGUUCAGGACAGCUUCAUGCUUACUUUGAAUCAUAUAAAAUUUGUAUUAAGAAUUCAGGGUCACCUUGGCCUAGUCUCAACAAUUUCCACUCGGAUAUGUAACGCUUUCUGGUCCAAGAAAUGCUUGUUCUUUCUAUGUGGUACAUUCCAAUUAAUACUUGGUUAAAAUGUUUUAAUUUAUGCCAUGCUUGAUAGACUAAAUAUCCUGAAGUCAAUUAUUGCAGUUUCAUAACAACAAGCUUCUGCUUCCAUAAAUUGAUGGGUAUCAAGAAGAAUAGAUGGUAUUGUGAAAAGCACCUAGAUGGUAUUAAGCCAGCUGCAUAACCAACAGCCUGUUGUUUGCAUCCAAAGAAAUAAUUGGAAAAAAAGACUUUUAAGUAAAGUUGGAGUAAAUCUCGCAUCGUCAAAAACAUAUGAUAGUCAAAAAUUUUAAUGCUUCAUAAUAUUGAUGGCAUCUCCAAUGAACCCAUGUCACAUAUAAACUCUGGUUGAAUGACAAACUAAUCAGGAUGAAGUAAAACAUUAUUACAAAACUUUACAUCUCUAAUUGACUAAUAGUGACUGUCAAGACAAACUUUUACCUCAGAAGCUUGAAAGGCAGUGCCAAAUAACAGCGAGAGCUUCUUUUGAAAAGAAUUUCCUUGAACCUGUUUUCCAUUUUCCAUUAAUAUACAUAAGAAUCAUGGGAACUCUGCAUGUCCCAGAGAACAGAAAAAAGACAACCAUACCAUAUGCUCAAAAUUAAUAGGAAAUGGAUUGAGAAGAGUCUGAUUAAUGUGUGGCUUCAUCAUGCAUUUCAUAUCCAUUAUGGGUAUAUGAUGAUAUUAAACAACCUAGCUACAUGCAUAGAUCAGUUGUUAAAUGUUGAAAAGUUGCUUCCAUGUAAAUAUACAGGGAAAAGCUUCAAUUUCCCAGUUGAUUCAUGUUCCAAUAAGAUCUUCAUGGAAGGAAUUUGAAUAAUGUUUGUAACACACUAACAGCUCACUAGUUCAGAGAUAGCAUACUUAAAGUAGUUAAGACAUGGCUUGCUGGUUCCAAUCAUGCCUCUGUCAUGCUUCAUUGCAUUUAAAAAGAAGUUAGACACAUGAUGCUUCCGAACUUAUCUAGGACAGCCAGAGGAGCUGCUAACGAUGACAACAUUGUUAUAUCUAUGAGAUCCUCAUCUAAAAAAUCAUAUCUAUCAUUUGUUCUACGGCCUAGAAUGGUUGCUUUCAGAUUGCAUCAGCUAACACAGACAUUAAAAAUGAGUAUUUCUGGUAUUCAUUCAGUAAAUGAUUCCCAAAUUAAAUGAAGGAAAGAAAAUAUGACAAAGAAGAAAAAUGGAUUACAAUAAUUUGCAAAUGUGAUGACACUGUCCUACUAUUUUUCCUAACAUACUAUUGACCUAGACAUAAGUCUUUGAUAUAAUGAAAUUAAUUCUCGACCACAAAGCAAACUUAAGAUUAAUGAUUUUUUUUUAUAUAUAAAUAAAAAAGGUGUUUGUUUUCCAUAUCCUGUUUUAGCCCGUUCAGGCAAUGCCAGCUUGGUUAAAAUGAACCCGUUUUAUAACAUCUAACAUGGCAUCUAUGGAAAUACCCUAAAGCCACAUAUACUAUACAGUUUAGCUCAUAUGUAAGCUUAAAUCUAAAAUUACAGCCCUAAAAUCUGUGGCAGCAAUUAAAUCUGAAUGUGGGAAAACAGAAUUAAAUUCUAAACCUAAGGACAAAUCUAACUAAGGACUCCAGUACGUUACCAUACCGGUCAUACCAUAUUGUAUUUGUAUGCCUCUUGAUGCCAUACUGGCACAUAGUACUACAUCUCACAUUUGUUGUGCUAGCACCAACAGAUGUGCCGGGUAUCGGUACGGUACUUUACUUAGAUGGAUCUAGGUACUGGAAUCAAGACUUUAACCCUUGCAUCUAACUGAAAGCUACCAAUUAACUCUACCUAAAUUGUUGCCUUAACUGCCUUGUAAAGUUGUUUUGUUGUUCUCAUCUUAUAAAGAAACUAAACACGGGCAUUUUAUUGGACUAGAACUAUUCCACUUAAUAAGAGAAAAAAGGUCAAGGGAGAGAAUGGAAUAAACAAAGAAAGUAGAUUAUAGUGCAAGUCUAAGGAGAACUUAAAAUACACAUUCUUGAGUACUUCAAAUUGAAGGCUAAUGGUUUUCACUAAUGCCCUUAUUCAUGUCUAUUUACAACACUGAGGUCCAACAUUUGACAUCUGUUAUAUUACCAACCUAAAUCUAUUUUUAGAAGCAGAUGUUGUUGCAGAUUGCAAUACUUUUCAAUUUUCGAAUUAAUCGUAGCAAAAUAAAGAUAGUAUCAAUUGCAUAUGCAAUUAAAUAAACCCAAAGUAUGUCGUACCGGUCCGAACCAGAUGGUAUAGGGCAUACCAUACUGGUUCGGUACCGGUAUCUUGUAAAAGUGGCAUACCAUUACUGCACUGUACCGACACUGUGCUAGUGUGGCACCGAUACAGAGUCCGGUGCCAAGACGACAAACCUUGAAUAAAUUUAUUUAUGGGGAUGAUACAUUUUGAAGUAACUAAAUUAUCGACAAUUUGAGGCUUAACGAUAAUUGAUUUCAAGAUCAGGUCAAAGAAAGCACCAUGAGAAUAAAAAGAAUGUGAAAACCUAACUGACAUCAAUACAUAACUUCAUUAUUUUUGAUAACUUCAUCUCAAAUUUAACAUUUGUUGAAUCUUACAGCUGCGCAAAUUGUGCUAACAUUUAAAUUUUUCUUGGAACAAUUAUAGGUGGGCGUCACCACUUGACCCCUUGCACCAACCUAAAUUUACAAGAAGAAUACAAAAAGUGCCAUCUUAUAGAUGUUUUUUUCUCCGACUUCUUUUAUACGUCAUGAUGCAUCUCGAUAAAUUCUUUGGUCAUCAAAAUCCUUAAAAUCAUAAUCAUCCAAUAAAAUAUUUCUUAGAAGAUAAUCCUCAAGAGUCAAGACACAUUACUUGGAAGAUCCCCAGAAGUAGUCCCAGAAGACAAUCCUCAGGAAACAUAAACCCUAAAAGAAAACGCUCAGGUGACAUAAUCUUCAUAACAUCAACCACUGAAUAAUUUUCAAGAGAAACUUCUCAAAAGAACAUUGUUCUUGGAAGGCGAUGUCCAGGAGAUUCUCAGAAGACCAUACUGGAAAGGACAUAAUUCUUAGAUCUCUGCAAUUUAGCAAAAAGCAGCACACCUCUUCAAUCUUCCAUUCUUGCAACAUUUCAAAACCUCUUUUAAUCAGUCCACUUUUCAACAAAAAAAGAGAAAAAAUCAUGAUGGUCAUAAAUGGGAAGGCAUCAUCCAUUAUCAAAUUUUUCCGGAAACAAGAAAGUUUUGCAACUCGUUUUUUACUUCUAACUCCCUAAACUGUUACUGCAGAUUGAUCUGAUUAAAAAAAAGAAAGAAAGGAGCUAGCAAUGCCUAUGAUGAUGGCAGCUAAAAUAGUAAUUCAAUCAUGAUCAUUAAAUGAAAAGGCUCCAUCCAUUAGAUUAAUCAAUUUAUUUUGGACAUAAUAAAGUUUUCAAUCUUUUUACUUCGAACUCCCUAUACUGUUGCUGCAGAUUGAUCUAUUUUCUAAAGGAGAUAGAAAUGCCCAAGAUGAAGGCGAUUAAAAUAGUAUCCCUAACAUGAGCCCAUCAUCUUACAGAAAAUUGUCUGAGGCCAGGUUUUUUACCCCAAAUGGCCAAAUUUCCUCAAGAUGUCAAGUCAUGUCUUUCUAAGCACACUCAUCGUCAUUCCAUGCAUCAGGCACAUGAUGCAUGUGAGAGGAAGUGUAUGUAAUACUAGAGAUAAUUACCAAAGGAUUUCCUUUUCUAGAGAAAAGGAAAAUUGUAUGAAUCAUGGUGAUGCGGAGGUAUUUUAUUCAGCACAUUCCUUUUUCUUUUUACGAGAAUUCCUUUUUAAGAAAAAAACUGAAUAAAAAAUGGAUAGAUGUCAUAUCAUGGGCAGACCUAUUUUUCCUUUUAUUAAGAGUUUCCCUGCAACCUUAGGCUUACCCUAUUAGAGCCCAUUUUUUGGCGGAUUUUUGUUUGCUGCAUGGAUGAAUACUGUUUGAAUGUCACAGAUGACUGGUAUUAACUGAAAGUUUGCUUGAGGUGUAUAUUUUGAUGAAAGAAUGGAUAUAUGCAUGUGACUGUAUCCUUAGUGGGUAGCCAUGUGUGUGUGCCACUAGUUAAGAUCAUCCAUUUACUUAUCUAAGAAAUCUUUAGUCAAAACAAUGCUUUAGUAUUUGCUUAUGUUACCAAAAUAAAUGAUCUAAAAAGUUCUCUAUUUCAACAUUGAAGUUACACAUAAAUGAACAUUGAACCAAGAACAAGAAAUGAUAUCCUAAGAGUGCAGAACAUACAACUGCCUUUGUUCCAUCCCAGGAAAAAUAUGUGGCAAAGAAACAUGGCUCAUUGCCUUCUGUAACUCUGUAGAGUGGCACAUCUGGAGAUAACCCUUCCAAGGCUGCUGCAAGCUCUAUGUAUUUCUGGAAAGUUUCUUUAAUGAAGUUAAACAAAAGCAAACAGAAUACUAACAGCACAAGAAAAAAGGAAGCUUCUUACCUGACCAAUUUCAAAAGCCUUCUGCCUUUCCUUAGGAUCCACAGACUGACCAACCCAAACAAAGACUUCUGCAUGAGUGUCAAGUAUCAAUAUGUCCUCAGUCAACAGAUCAUCUUGAGAGAAGUUGUAUACUUCAGUAACCUGCAAGGAUGAUUGAGGGGAUUCAAUAAAAAUAUUAUGACAUCACAUAUUGAAACCAUAGAUAAGGCAAGUUAUCUAACCUCUAAUUUUCCUGAGGAAUCAUCAUACAUGCACGAGAAAAAAAGAUGGCAUCAGAUUCAGGUAAUUCAGAUAGGGAUAGGACAAGAUAAUGAGAGUCAUAUCAUCAUAAUUAGUCAACAAGUUCUAGGACAAAGCUAACCUUUACUAAAGGAAAAGGUGUACAAGUGAGGAUCUCUAACAGUAUCCUGUAUGACCUUUUUAGUGGUAAAGCUUUGCUUUCCACCAAGUGCAAACCAAAAUGCAGAGCUCUCUGUACCUUCCUUGGCAUGUUUCAGUGUAGCACCAGGCUGUAGCAUUAACAACUCCAUAAGUAGUUAAGAAAUAACUUCCCAUAGAAUUCAAGUAAAAUUGAUUCUUCAAAAUGUGAAAUGCAUCGCAGAAAACAAUAUAGUAACAAGCCUUAUCAUGUAAAUUUAUAAAAAUAGGCCAUUCAUUUUUCUAUGUAGAUUAUCUAGAAAGCAAAUUUCACAAUGCAUACAAUCUUUUGCAAAUAAAGCCAAUAUAAGCUUAGAAUCUUCUUCUUGAUCAUGCAAUAUAUAUGAUCUUAAGUGCAUAUUAUGUUUCCAUUCUUUGUUGAUAUAUGUUCUAAUACAAUAUAAGGCCCUAAUUUUUUUAUCUAUAUAGAUGAUUCAAAUAAUUGUAUACCUCUAUAAAAAUAUUAAAAAAAUCCUCCAAAACUUGUCUCUUCUCUGAAAACAUAUACAUAAUCUAGAAUGUAGAUUUUACAUUUGGUUGAUUGAGAAGAGGAAAUACAUGACAACAGAAAAAAAAAAAAUCUAGAGUAUACCUUUAAAAAUUCUGCAACUUUUGCAGCCCAAUUUUGCUGCUCGAAGGUAGUGGAACUUCCAUGCCAUAUGAAAACAGAAUGUCCAGAUUGCAAUAGGAAACAGUCAGUGGAGCUUAGGGACGCUGCUACCUGAACCAUAGAUGUUAAAUGGCAUUGAUGCUGACAUCCACGUCAGAAAAUACAACGGUAACAUUCUUGGCUACAACAUUUAAAACAGAAAAUGGCAACUUUAUUUGAGUAAACUGAGUUAUCUUCAUGCAAGAACAUGAUAAUGCAUGAUUUGAUGAUUUGAUCAAUCUGGUUUUUCUUUUUUGUUAUAAAAAAAAACUCUACUUUUCUUCUCACGACUUAAAGUUCCGCAGGCAUGGUUAAUCUAAAAUUUAGCUUGCUAUACAAUUCAAAAUCAUCGAGUACCAGAAACAAAAGUUAAUCCUUCAAUACUAAUUUUGAACUCAGAGAUCUGUACAUCUUCAAUAAUGUGAUCGGCUACUUAUCCAAAACUGGAGGAAAAUCAACAACCAAGACAAAUGCCAAAAAUAACAGCUCCAGGCUUAUGCUAAAGCAAAAUGUUUUUCAGUUUAUAAUCUGCAUUGUUUUGUUCAAUUAAGCACAGAAGGUUGUGGAAAAGCAUCAGUGAACAAGUAAACAGGAAUAUAAUAGAAAACUUAUGCACAUACCGCAUCAACUUGUACAGCUUGAUUAUUGUGCACUGAUGUACCAGACACUCGAAUAAGUGCAAUACCAUCAGAAGUGUAAGUAUCAUCAUUUCCAUUCUUCUCAGAAAUUAACUUUUUGUAUCCAGAACUGAUUCCGCCCUAUAAUAAAAGAAGCCAAGAUUAGGAAAGAUCAAGGUUUAAAG